RNAcentral lists this long non-coding RNA (85399 nucleotides) under Sorghum bicolor (sorghum). RNAcentral's name for it is "long non-coding RNA (SBIC_LNC017330)". The stretch from base 5458 to 5565 matches the Rfam family "Plant small nucleolar RNA R71". The record is from RNAcentral. Lineage: Eukaryota; Viridiplantae; Streptophyta; Magnoliopsida; Poales; Poaceae.
UGGCUUCUAGACUGUUCUAGGUUGAGGAAAAUUGCCGCACACAUAAUUAUCUCGUUGUAAACCCGACGUGUGGGCCAUCCUUCCAUAUUUUUUGAUAACCCCCUGCAGAAAUAGACAAACACCAAAACUCGUGGAAUUCUAUCAGAUAAAACCCUAAUUCUAGGUGUUUGGUGCAUAUUGAUCCUUUUCCAUGUUUAGUUGACGGUUGAAUUUGGCACUUAAGGACCAUCAACAAACUCCCCCAAGCUUACCCUUUGCUCGUCCCUGAGCAAACAGCUAAACUCAAAUGGAUCAGGAGUUUCUUUGAUGUUUUCUUUCCUGACAGGCACACAUGCUUUCAUAUAGAAUUCUCCCAAAUUAGAGUAAAGUGUCAUGGAGCUUAGUACCUGCACUUAAGUCUUGGGUGGUUGAAAGACAAAAUAAUUAAGUCAAGCACUAUUCCUCCUAUCUAUACUUCACCUUUGUUCUAGAGUUUUGCAUAAGUUUUCAAAAAUAAAGCUCAGAGUUCCUAGACAUGACUCUCUCUCAAGUCUCUUUAUAUGUGGUAUUUGUGGAUCCUUACCAAGGUGUCACUUACCUAUAGCUAAUGGAAAGUUUAGGUGGAGCUUAUAGGUGUGAAAAAUAGCUCAUACAUAUGUUGUUUAAUCGAACCAUGGAUCCAAAGUAAUUCAACAUAUAAUUAAAUCAAAAUGUGCAUGUGUGGUGGAGUAAAUGAUAGUAAUGGUGAAAAUGUAUAAGUGAUGAUAAAACUUAGUUCUCAUUGCUCCUCAUGUUGCUAUCUCUCCACCUCUCUUGAUCUUUGCUUUGGGAGAACAUGGGCUAUCUUUUCUUCUCUUUUUUUUUCAGGUGGGUAGUAAAUACCCCUAAUUCUAUUGUCGGACACUUGUCCAUUUUUCCGCUCAGGUGGGCAUCUUUGUACCCCUAAUUCUACUCCAGACACUUGUCCAUUUUUACCUCUCGUCUCACUCUUUUUCUUUCUUUUUUUAGGUUUUGGGCACUUGCCCCUUUUUAUUUCCUCGUAUUUUUUUGCAUAACCCAUGCCUCUUCUGCAUUGAAUCUUUUUGGGGAGAGAGAAUAACAACACUUGGGACAGUGAGUGAUAACAAUAUUUUUAGCAGAUUUUUGAUGAAUGGUGGUGGAUAGUGUAAUAGACGUGUGCAAGUGAGUAUCUUGAUUUAACUACAUGAAAAGCUCCUAAGGGUCUACACAGCUCGAUCAAACUCAAUGCGAAUAUAAGUAGCAAAAGAUAUAGAAAUUAUAGCAAGUAUGGCAGUGGUAGGAAUUUUUUCAUGCUAGGAACUCAUCAUAUGAUUUGCAAGUUUUCAAAAAUGAAUCUCCAGAACUUAGUGUAGUAAGAACAAGAUAAAUAGUAGCUCAAACUUUAUAUCAUGUCUAUCUCUUACCUAGACUUUAGUUUUUGGUUCAUGCUCCCAUAGAUAUUAAAUUUCAAGUUUUAGCAAUUCCUAGGAGAACUCUGAUUUGAAAGCUAGGUACUUGAAAGUAAGUAAACAGAGCAAUUGUUCAUCAUUUCCAUCAUGCAUCUUUUUGGUUUUUUCAUUUUUUCUAGAGGUUAAACUUAGGAGGAAAAAUAAAGCACACUUAUGUACACACUCUUUUUUAUGUGGUUUUUCAUUUUUAAGGAAUGCAGUAAAUUAAGCAAGAAAGUAUUUAUUGGGUUUUCUAAGCUUCUCAUUUUUUUUGAAAUACUAAAACAGAAAAAUAAAUAAGAAAAACAAAUAAAAACUUACUCAGUAAAACAGGGAGGAACUCCCCGUUGUUGGAUGUGGUUGUGUCGGUCUUACUCAAUGUUCCAGAACCGCAUCAUGGUGGUGAUGUUGUCGUUCAUCGUCAUGGUGUCUCGCCUCAGGUCUUGUACUGCAGCGGCGUGGUCCUAGUUCCACUUUUGUUGCUGUUCCAGGAGUCGUCCAUGCUCAAUUUGCCUAUCUUGGAUGGCGAGAAGGGUGUUGUCGGUGCGGUUGAAGAAGGCGCCGACCUCUUGGUAGUAGUCCCCGGAGAACACAUAGGAGGCAUCAGAGUACCAUCCUGCAUCAAAUUGGGGCUAGGGCCUAGACCCUGAAGCUCCAAACGGAUUAGUGGAGUACCUUCCUGAACGGAAAGGCAGUUCGCCCACUGGUGAUCUUGGCCCUCCGGCCACGUCUCCCGUGCUAGCUCCUGUGGCUGAGCGUGUUGAACCCACGGGUCCCGAAUAACUCGAGGGUUGUAGUCGCGAUAAUGUAGGUGUGCUGCUUCUUCUGGCCCGGGAUCAGCUCCAUACCAGGUGCGUUCUUGAUUGGUGUCCAUCCUUUCGGAUGCCACGCACUGUGGAGCUCUCUGGUUCACCGGUGACACUGCAAUCUCAAUCAAAUAAUUUUGAACGACAUAGAGGCCAAGGUUCGGGUUAGGUAACUGAAUCUUGCCUUUAUUAUCGUACAACAUAUACAUUACAUUCCCUUCCUUUUUCAGCAUCCGAGCUUGUCUAAAUGUGUCAUAGCCAUGAUACAUUCGUAACUCGUCAAUGAAUUCCAAUGACAAGUUUUCUAGCAAAUUGAGACUAGAGGCUAGACGAGUGAUGAGUGAAGUACAACCGAUAGGUCCCUGAAGACUAGGUAUACUGAGCCAAUGAGCAACCAAAAGAGUAACAGGUGAAGUAAGUACUUUAUUUAUAGCAGCAUAAAGAAGUUGCAAAUCUCCUACUCUUACUUUUCUAAUAUCAUCGUGAUGGAAAAGAUUGUACCCGAUCCAUUUGUGGAACAUCCGGAGAGUAGGAUGUUCCAUGUCACUGGUUUGGGCCUGAACAUAAUAUUCAUCCCUUGAAAUCUCUCUUUAGAACUGGUGCCUCUCAAAAUUAGGCAAAUCGGUGUCAAUGUCUAAGAUGCAUCUUGAAGAGAAACCGAGAUGGUCGCUCAGUUCUCUCCAAGAUAACAUGAUGUCUUGUUUGAACAUCCGAAAAGCGAUACCCCCUCAUAAUAUUGCAAAGUGUAGAGACAUUCAAUGGUGAGAAGACGGGAACCUAGCUCAGUUAUAUCCCGAAAGUUUGUCCAUCCCAUCAUCUGGAAAAUCAAGUCAAAUUUGGUAUCCAUACCUGUCUCUUGCAAUAGGACAGGAUCAAGAGUGGGGGUGUGAAUGAAUUCCUUGUUCUUCAGUUGCCAGAAGAUUUCCUUCUCCCUACGGGUCUUCAGACCAAGGUCUCCUAUCUUGAGGGGAACCUUGACUCUUGUACCUGACGAAGACGAUGGAGCUUGCUGGGGCGUCGGGUCGACGCUCAUCUCCGAUUGGUGCGAGGAGAGUCAGGAUGAACUCCUCGUCCCAAUGUUCUUGAUGGCCUUGGCCACGUUCUUCGCCUUCCUAAACAUCCUGCAAAAAUUGACACAAACAAAAACUCAUGGAGGAUGUGAGAGAUAAAAGUUAGUGGUCAGCCGUCCAAAAAGUCAGUCGUCUAAGGGUUAGUCGUCCGAGACAAUUUUAAGCACUUCUGCUUUGGACAGCAGGACCACUACUUAUUCAAUGAACCUUGCUCUCUCUCUCUCUUCUAUCAAAAACUACCAAACUCUCUUGCACUCUUCUCUUCCCCUCUAUUCCCCUCACUUCACUACUAGAGCUCCUCCUCUGGAAACCGAGAACUGAAGUUUGCGUGGUUUUCUAGAAUGCUUGUGUGAUGGAGAUGGAGGCAGGAGGUGGAAAUUUAUAGGAGGAUGGGGGGAUAGGGCAGACGCCCUGAACAGUAGGGCGGGCGCCCCACCCAGGUGGCCUUCCUGGCUGCAACUUCUCCACUCCCUCCUUUGCUUAGCUCUAACACCAAAAAAUGCUGAGUGGGUGGUGGUUGGACGGUGGAAAAAUGUCUAGUGAGUGGAGAGGUGUUGGUGGAUGAAAUAAUGUGAUGAGAUGUGUGUGAGGUAUGGUGUAUGACAUGUGGGACCCAAUGGGUGUGGGUCAUGCUUCUAGUAAAUAUAAUGCAGGAAAAACUAUGAGAAUUGGAACUUAUUAAGAAGAAUCGUGGAAAAAUAUUCUUGUGCCUCCACUAUAAUUAAUAAAUAUGGGUUGUCACACACCAUAAAUAUUAUUUAUAUGGGGCUUUUGAUUAUUAUAAUAAUGCUAUGAAUAAAUAUAACUAAUGCAAGAAUUAAUUAUGCAAAAAUUUAAACAAUGUGGAUAAAUACCGAUUUACCUUCCAGAGAGGGUUUGGGGUUUUUAGGUCCCCCAAGCUGGACCUCCAAACCUUUUAAUCUUUUGAAUUUCCUUCCUCCGGAGUUGGUGUCUCUAGUGGUUCUUCUUCAUGAACUUCCUUCACUGUAGAGUCUCUCUCUGAUCUGGGCUUGAAUGUAAAAUGUUCUUCUUGUCCAUUUAUGCUGAACUUGAUUUCUCCCUUUCCAACAUCAAUGUGGGCAUUGGCGGUGCUCAUAAAUGGCCUUCCAAGGAUGAUGGACACUUUUGAGUCGGGACUCUUGUCCAGUACCACAAAGUCUACUGGAUCAAGAAAAUCUCUUAUCUUGACUGGGAUGUUUUCAGCGAUGCCCAUCGGGUGUCGAACUGAUUGAUCUGCUAGCUGUAGGCACAUUGAUGUUGGUUCUAGGGUUGUAUGUUCGAGCUUCUUGUAGACUAAUGCUGGAAUCACACUGACACUUGAUCCGAGAUCACAAAGUGCAUUGUUCAAGUGUUGGUUUCCGAUCGAGCAAUCAAUGGUGGGACAUCCUGGAUCUUUCUUCUUCUUCGGUGGUUUGUUGAGGAUGACCGCACUACAUUCUUCUGUCAGCUUGAUUACCUCAGUGGUGGGCAGUGGUCUCUUCUUGUUAAGAAUAUCUCUAAUGUACUUUGCAUAUAUGGGUACCUGUAUGGCAUCAAGUAGAGGUAUGUUGACAUAUAAUUUUUGAAUGACCUCUACAAACUUACCGAACUGCUCAUCCGACCGCAGACCUCUGUUUCUUCUGGGAAAUGGCAAAUAGUUGGUGUCGUGAAAAUCUUUCCUCAUUUCUCCAGUACUAGGUGGUUGUAGCAGCUCUUCUGCGUCAGCAGGGCUCUCAUCUUCUAUCACUACUGGUUGCACUGGUGCUGGUGUUCUUUGCUUCUCUCUUGGAUGUGGGGGAUCCUUGGUAGCUUUCCCCCCUCUAGUAGUUAUGUUCUUUACCUUUGCUAUUGGGUUGACUUGAAGUGGGUUGAUAUUUGUAUGUUGUCUCAAUGGCCCUUUGAUCUUCUUUGAACUUGGCCCUCUGGUCAAUCCAAUGGAGCAAAUUCUCCAUCUUGGUUGAUAGUGCAUUUACUUCUUUGGGUAUUUCUUCAGUUUGAUGACAUUGUUGAGCUUUGUCUUGGAACCAGCUUUGGUUUUCUGCUAUCUUAUCCAAAAGUGUUUCUACUUUUCCAAUUGUAAGCCCCAAAAAUGAUCCUUUAGCAGAUGCAUCUAGGCACUCACAUGCCUUUCGGGUUAAUCCAUGAUAAAAGGUCUGCAUAAGUAACCAUCUGGCAUUUCUAUGGUGAGGACAAUCUGAUAUGUAUCCUUGAAAAUGCUCCCAUGCUUCUGGAAUGGUUUCUGUCUUCUGCUGUUGGAAACUAACAAUAUUUCCUCUUAAGGCAGCUAUUUUGCCUAUAGGGAAAAAACUUUGCUAGAAAGGCAUCUGACAAGUUCGUCCAAGUGUUGAUGUUUUCUUGAUUGGUGUAGAACCACUUCCUUGCUCUUCCUUCUAGUGAGAGUGGAAAGAGGCGAAGCAGUAUGACUUCUUUGUCAACUCCGUUGACGCUGAUUGUGCUUCCAAUCUCUAAGAAAUUUUGCAAGUGUGUACUAGCAUCUUCAUGUGCCUUUCCACUAAAUUGCGUAGCUUUCACCAAAUUGAUGAGGCUUGACUUGAGCUUGAACUCGGGUGCUCCUUCUUCUACUUCAAAUCUUGGACCAGUUGGAAUAUUCUCAAGGCUUGGAGCAGAGAAUUCUUGUAGGGUCUUCUGUGCCAUAGCUUCAACAAUUGGUGGCUAGCUUCUUCUUUCUUGAUUGCUUUGGUUCUGAUGAUGAAGAGUUGAAUGUACCAAAGUCAAUCCUGAUAUAACCUGUAUAAAAAUAUAAACAUAGAAAAACAACAGGGUGAACCUGCCAAAGUAGAGGUGCCUUGUUAUGAAUUCUCAUUUUUACAGUAGCUGUUCAUGCAAUUAUUUCUCCAUAGUCUAGUCUAAUAUUUUAUGUGCGUAUCCUUGACCGACUUCCUGACUUUCCUUACCAUUCCCUGGCAACGGCGCCAGAAAUUGUUGUUGACACUUGCUAACACCACUUGAAUGCUAGGUUGUCAUCCCCAGCAUGGCGCUAGAGUGUACUAAGGUAUUUAUGAAUAUGAAGGCUCUCUAGAAAAUAAUCUAUUCUGUCCGCAAGCGCAUAGAUAAAAUACCUCAUUGUAGCAUUUCACCACGAAAGUAUUCUGGGUAUCGUUAUUUAUAUUUUGCUUAAGAGAACAGCGAAAGUGAAAACAGGGGUAAAAUCUAUCAAGGCAUAGACUAGAGCUAAACUUGCAAGAAUAUGAUUACUAAUGAGAAACUCGUCACACAGUCACUUGCUUUGGCAGGGGGUAAGCCAUAAUAAUAAAGAUAAUGAAAUAUAGCUCAUGGGUAAAUAACACAGGGAUUAGAAAUAGACUACUCCAUAUAAAUGUAAGGUGACGUCGAAUUAGCUAGAGAAUGGAUUCUAAGUAUCUACUAUCUACCAAGUCACAAUCUACUCUAGGCAUCUACAAGAUCAUAUAUAGCACAAGAGACUCUUCAUUCAUGUAUAAGGAACAUUGCUAAAGUAAAUCAAAACAUAGGAAGACUUACUCUGCAAUACAAAUUUUGUCUGUCCUACUAACGGAGGGUGGACUAUCACUACUAGAAAUGUGUUAAUCAAUGACGAAUCACUAAUGACGCUAACUAUUUUCGUCACAGAACUAGUUCAUUCGAUGACGAAAUUAGUAGCUUCGUCAUGUUUGAUAAGUGACAGAGCUUUGGCACGAAGAACAGUGACGAAAAUAGAAUCAACGUCACUGAACAACGAAACUAAAUCGUCAUAGAUGGUCUGGCCAGUGUACCGGAGGGGUUGGGGUCCCACUAGUGGGUCCGAUGUUCAUGACAUGGCACCAUGGUCCCACCUAUGGCACUACGGUCCCACCAGCAGGUCUCACCGUAGUGACGUGGCACUAUGGUCCUACCGGCGGGUCCCACGUCCUGAGGUGGGGCAUGGUCCCACUAGCGGGUCAAACAGGUAUGACGUGGCGCCAUGGUGGAACCUGUGGAUCCAACGUCUUUGACGUGGCACUGUGGUCCCACAAGUGGGUCCCGCCGGAGGGUCCCACCGUCAUGACACCGCGCCCUUGUCCCACCGAUGGGUCCAGCAGUCCUGGCAUUGUGGUCGCACUGGUGGGCCCGUUGACAUUUGAAAGACCAAGUUUGGUUUUGGUAAUUAAUGACACCAAGUUGCUAUGCCUUGUGUUUAAGUGAUUUGAGUUAGGCAUAGCAACACAUGUGAUGAAGGUGCAUGGUGGCAUGGAGAGGUGGCCACAUGAUCACAAAGGGAUGAAGCAUGAAGUGGAGAUCAUGGUGAUAGACAAGGAGCAAAGUUAUCAAGGCAAAGGUAUAAACAUAGGGUUUUACUUUUGCCGGUCUAAGAUGAGUAGAGAAGUGAUUGACCGGGUUUAGGAUAGAUAGCCGACUAUCAAGAGGGGUAAUCACGGUCAUCUCUCGAAUCAAGUGCUACUAGGUCCAUAUCUUGAGCAUAUGCAUUAGGAUCUAGUAAAGUGCUAACUGAACUCCUUUGGAUAAAAAUGUUUUUGAAAAGCUAACACACAUGCACUUUGGUGGUGGACACUUGUUGGUGUAAGCACAUUUGCAAAGGAGGUGGUUUUCCUAGGAUUCGGCUCUUUUGAGAAAAUUAAGUGUAUAUUUUCUGUUGCGCCGGUGGGAAAUUUGGAGAAGUCACGGGAGUGUUUUCUCACUGAGAAGCACUCACCGGACGCUGGCCUCAGAGUCCGGUGUGCUUGACCCUGCUAGGGUUGAGCACCGGACGCUCUCUGAGUGCGCCCGGUGGUUAGCGUCCGGCGUGAAGGCGUUUUGCAACCCUCUCUGUACAUGGGUCCGGUGAGCACCAGACGCUACCGGUGCUUAGCGUCCGGUGACCCUGCAAGUUUGCAACCCUCUCUGCGCAUGGGUCCGGUGUGCACCGGACACGUCCGGUGUGUACCUACAGAGCGUCUGGUGGUGCGCAGGUGACCGUUAGAAUCUGACACGCGGGAUUCAAGUAGGACACGUGGCCUAUCCCUGAGCACCGGACGUUGGGGGUUGAGCGUCCGGUGAUCACUUGGUAGCGUCCGGUGCCCCCGUUUUCUGCCCAGUGAAAGUAGCCAACGGCUAGUUUCUUUGAGGGGCUUAUAAAUAGUUGGUGGCCGGCUUUGAGAGGUUUGCUCUUGCACUUUUGAUUACUUGAGACAUACAUUGAGCUAGAGAACACUCCCUCCACUCAUCUCCUUGCUUGAUUGCUAAUCCUAGUGAGAUUCAAGUGCAUUGCUUUGAGAGUUGCAUUUAGUGGCACUUGAUUCUUGAGUUUGCUGCGGAUUUCUUGUUACUCUUGGGUGUUUCCCGACGCCCUAGACGGCUUGUAGCAGCGGUGGUGUUGAGCUCGUGAUUGGAGAUUGUUUCGAGCCUCACCAAGUGAUUUGUGAGGGGUUCUUGAGCCUUCCCCGCGGGAGAUCGCAAUUGGCUACUCUAGUGGAUUGCUCGUGGCUUGGGAUCCCCAUCUUGUGAGUGGAUGUGCGACACCCGCUGAGGGUUUGGCUUUGGAUUGCCAAUUAGAUCGUGAUCCAUCAAGUGGGUGUAUCGCCACAACGAGGAGUAGCUUGCCGGGAAGCAAGUGAACCUCGGUAAAAAAUCUUGUGUCAUCUCUUGCCGAGGUCUCUCUUGUGAUUGUGCAUGUGAUUGAUUGGAUAUAUUUCUACUCUACAACAUUGGUAUAACAAUCACACCCCUCUCUUUUACCUUUGUGCAUACUUAGCUAGUUGUGUAGCGUGUUUAGCUUAGCUUUCUUGUUGAGGAGUGUAGCAAGCUUGAGGAGUGUAUCAAGCUUCUAGUUCUGCUUUCUUGUUGUAACUAGUGUUUAGCUUUCUUGCUAGACUUGUAUAGGUGGCUUGCAUAGCUUAGUUGUGCUAGUGCUAGAAUAGUUUCGCCUUUUGUUUUACUAAUCAACUUGUCUAGUUGAAGUUUGUAGAAAUUUUAAAUUGGCUAUUCACCCCCCUCUAGCCAUUUGGACCUUUCAACAUGGCGACCGGGUCCCACCGGCGUGGUCCUGCUAGCGGGCCCCAUGUCGCUAACGUGGCCAUGCAGGGGCCGAAGCUACUGCGAGCGCCCUCAGAUUUCCAUAGGAGCUUUGAUCCUGCGACUUGCUGUGCAGGGAGAGGCAAGUUACCACUAGACCACUCAGUCGGUUGUGUUGUUGUUUUUUUUUUGUUGUUUUAUUUGAUUAGUUAUUGAACCCACUAUUUCCAAAAAGAUUAAAAACCCUCCGCGAGGGGGUUUGAACCUUGAACCUACUGGUUCACAGGGUGGUGCCUUUACCACGAGAAUACUAAAGCUUUUGUGUUUGUAUGUUACAUGUUUGUUUAUUUGAACCGACAUUUUUUAAUAUUUGUCCAUCCAACUUAAUGGGCCGUAUACUCAUGAUUCCAUGUCCGUGACACACAGAACGCAGACGCGAGGUGCAGAGGAACCCUCGCGCGAGGGCGUUCGUGGCGGCUACGUAUGGUGCAGCCUUGCGUCCCCUGGUGAUCAACGUCGGGCGUCCCCAGGUGAUUGACGCGUCUCCAGGUGCUCGUCAAUCGACACCGUGCAUCCGAGCUAGCUGAUCGGCGGCGACGCUUCCCAGGUGAUCGACGUGUGUCCCCAGGUGAUCCUCUUGCUCUUCUUCUUUAUUUUUUUCUUCUUUUUCCUUUGUCCUCCUUUUUGUUAUUAUUAUUAUUAUUAUUCAGAUUUAGCAGCAUUAAUUUCAUGAGUGCGUGAUUUGACCUGAGUUUAGUACUAUUUGGCAAAUGUAUGUACUGUUUUUUUGGACUUUGUACGUUCUAAAUAAGCUGUUCUAAUCUGCAUAAUCAUUAAAAUUAAUUGACUAAAUAGUGAAUACAUAUCUAUCUAAUCGAGUAAAAGUAAAUAGUGAACAUAUAUCUAUGUAAUCAUUAAAAUUAAUUUACUAAAUAGUGAAUCUUUCCUUCUUUGUAUGACAUCUUAAAGUGAAUGUGGAUGUAGCUGAUAUUAGAAUUUAUUAGCUUUUCAAAUUUGAUGAUAGUAAUUGUUAGAAAAAAGAACAGUAUACAUACCGAGUAGAAGCUUUCAUUUAUUUAUCAUUUUUUACAUGUAUGCAUGUCUUUGAUGUGCGUUUGAAUAUUUUUUAAUUUAUUAAUGUAAUUUAUGGACUGCGUACAACAUUUAUUCUAUUAUCAGAACACAUGGAUAGAAGCUAGAUUUUUGGGGCACCAUUCACAUCUACAUAUGUGAAAGCACUACAAGAAAUCAGUCAUCUUAUGACUUUUUUCCCAUGACAUUGGACAAAAUAGUCAUAACUUUGACCAAUUUAUGACUUUUUUUGUGGAGACAGCUAGACUUAGUGACUUUGGUUAAUUUUUGUCAUAAAAAAUGUCUUAGUGCUAGUAGAAUAACAUUUUGUGACUUUAUUUCUCAUGUCAUAACAAUCAAUUUGCUAUUGUCAUAUAGAAAAUGGUAUAUUGUGACAAAUAUGAUAAGUCAUAAAAUAUUAUAUUGAAUUUUUUUAUGCAUUACAAUCCGAGGUGGCAAUAUGGGUCCACUUGGCAAACUACCACCUAAUCUUUUUUUAAGAAAAACUGCCACCUAAUCAAGUGGGUGCCAUGGUUCAUCUAGUUGUUUUUCUGUUUGUUUUUCCUAUAUGUAUUAAGCCCAGUUUUUUUAGAAGAACUUCAGCCUAGCUGUACGCUGGCCCAAUUUAGAACCAGCCCGUCCAAUUCGAAAUAAGUCAGAAAAAGAAAAAAAUGGUGCAGUGUGAGGGUUCGAACCUAGGACGCCAGCGGUUUGAGUUGUGUCCUUGCCAACUGAGCUACAAUGUUGUUUUGGUUUAAUGUGGUAGUUUUUACUAAUUUAUUCUUAUAUUUGUAUAAUUUCCAAGGAACAAAAUCGCCAAUGGUGGAAUAGAACAUGUCUGAGUGGUGCCCAAGGUCAGCAGUUGCGCCACUCUUUAAAAUCAUUCUGGUUCUUAAAUUUAAAUUUCAGUUCAAACUUGUCCUUUUUCAAAAUUUCAAAUUUCAAAUAUUUGAAUUUUGUCAAAUGAAGAAAUGGUCAAAAUCAAAUUUGUAGAUCUUGAUGAGUUGAACAACUUUGGUAUUCAUCACUUUUUAUGUUGAAAUCAUUUUGUGUCUCAAAUUUUGGUUCAAACUUGUCAUUUUUGAAAAAUUUCAAACUUCAAACAUUCAAAUUUUGUCAAAUUAAGAAAUGGUCAACAACAAAUUUGUAGAUCUUGAUGAUUUGAGCAACUUUGGUUUUCAUCACUUUUUAUGUUGAAGUCAUUUUGGGUCUCUAAUUUUGGUUUAAACUCAUCAUUUUUAAAAAAUUUCAUAUUUCAAAGCCUCAAAUUUUGUCAAAUGACAAUAUGGCCUAAAUAAAAGUUGUAGAUUUUGAUGAGUUGAACAACUUUGGUAUUCAUCACGUUCUGUGUUGAAAUAAUUUUGAGCCUCAAAUUUUGGUUUGACCUCAUCGUUUUUGAAAGAUUUCAAAUUUCGAAGGUUCAUAUUUUGUCAAAUUAAGAAAUGGUCAACAUCAAAGUUGUAGAUCUUGAUUAGUUGAACAACUUUGGUAUUCAUCACUUUUUUAGUUGAAAUCAUUUUGGGUUUCAAAUUUUGGUUUGAAAUCGUCGUUUUUGAAAAAAUUCAAAUUUUAAAUGUUCAAAUUUUGUCAAAUGAAGAAAUGAUCAACAUUAAAGUUGUAGAUCCUGAUUUUAGAAAAUUUUAGAGAAAAAUAUCAUCACAUUUGGAGUUAGUAUGAGGGAGAAAAACUAGUUACAAAAUUUACCUGCAGAUUAAAAAGAAAAAUCACACUAUUCUAGAUGAUCAGUGCAUGAUCAUAGUGAAUAGUGUGAUUUAUCUUUUUAAUCUGCGGAUAAAAUUUGUAACUAGUUUUUCUCGCUCAUACUAACUCCAAAUGAGAUGAUUUUUUUUGUAAAAUUUUCUAAAAUCAUUCUCUAUCAAUUUAUUGAGUUGUUUUUGUCAAUCUUUACAUAUUCCAAUAUUGAGCAAUUCAAAAUUUGAAUUUUAAAAAAAAGAGACAACUUCGAACACGAUUUUGAUACCCCAAAUUAUCGAAUGAGGAAAAGUUAUGAAUACUAAAGUUGAAUAACUCGUCAAGAUCUACAACUUUUGUAUUGGUCAUUUCUUCAUAUGAUAAAGUGGUAAUAACAUUGUUCACAAAUGUGACACAUCACUUAUGUGGUUUAAUAAACUAUGAGACAUGUGUAAGAUUAGUGAACAAUGUAUACUAAGAUUUUGUCAAAUGAAGAAAUGGUCAAAAUAAAAGUUGUAGAUCUUGAUGAGUUGAGCAACUUUGGUAUUCAUCACUUUUCAUGUUGAAGUCAUUUUGCAUCUCAAAUUUUGGUUCGAACUCGUUGUUUUUGAUAAAUUUCAAAUUUCAAAGGUUUAAAUUUUGUCAAAUGACAAUAUGGCCUAAAUAAAAGUUGUAGAUAUUGAUGAGUUGAAAAACUUUGGUAUUCAUGACUUUUUAUAUUAAAAUCAUUUUGGGUCUCAAAUUUUUGUUCGAACUCGUUGUUUUUGAAAAAAUUUAAAUUUGAAAGGUUCAAAUUUUCUCAAAUGAAGAAAUGGUCAACAUCAAAGUUGUAGAUCAUGAUGAGUUGAACAACUUUGGUAUUUAUCACUUUUUAUGUUAAAACCAUAAAAUUAGCCUAAAACCAAAUUUGUUCAUGAAUUAAAAUUAAAAAGCAUCACUAUUUUGCGCAAAUAAGAAAUAUGCGCUGCCCAUCUUAAAUGGGCCGCUUGGGCCAAAAUCAUCCUUCAUGGGCUGAACUGAUCGGCCCAAUCAACCGUAGCCAUCCAUCACGAUGGACGGCUCAGAUUCGCCCAAAGAACAUAUAAAUAGAAAGGGUAAACCCUAACCCCAUCCAUUUUCCUUUCCCUUUUUCUCUCUCUUCCUUAUCCUCUUCUUCUUCAGGAAACCAGAAAAAGGAGAAGAUGUACCACCAGGGAGGUGGCCAUGGGGAGAGCACGGGAACUGCUUGCAUCCGGCCCAGGGCACAGGGGCGGCGACGCCCGCGGCCUAGCGCGCGGCCCGCCCGCGGCCGGCCUGGCUCGCGGCGGCGCCUGCGGCUUGGCGCGUGGUCUGCCCCCCCGGCGGCCUGGCUGUGCCAGGGUGGGUGCGUGUGGCAUCCGAGGCCGGCCUGGGGCGCGGGGCUCCUCCGGUGGCGCGGCGGGCCGGCCUGGGCGAGGCCUCGGCAAGCGGCGACGGCCUGGCCGGCCAAGGGUGUGGGCGGCGCGGCCCGGCCAGGGAGGAGCGCGCAGCCCCUGGCGGGCGCGUCCAGGCGGCGCGGCUCCCGGCGGUCCGGUCUGCCGGACGCGCGGGCGGCGCGGCCCCCGGCGGUGGCUAGGCCAUGCGCAGCAGCUGUCGCCGACGUUCUACGACGCGAGCUGCCCCAACCUGCAGAGCAUCGUGCGCUCCGGCAUGGCCGCCGCCGUGCAGCAGGAGCCCCGCAUGGGGGCCUCCAUCCUCCGCCUCUUCUUCCACGACUGCUUCGUCCAGGUAAAAAGCUUAGCUUUUUGCUUGCUAGUUGCUAUAGUAUUCAAUAAUUCGCACGGUUAAUUAGCUGCGGCAUUUCCUGUGGUCUAGAAGGUCCCUACUCACUUGCUCUUCUGAAUGUGCUAUGUAUUUCAGUUGACAGUUCAAAGUCCUGUGUUUGGGUUUUUCUGUAACCAUAAAUACAACUAUGUAGAAGAUUACCUCAGUGAUGGAGAUGCCAAUUAGGGUGAUCAUCAGAAUGAUGCAGCCUGCUUAAUUGAGGUGCACUGUUUGGUACUCUGUAGAGAUGGGUGAAUGGUUAGACUGAAAUAGGUAUAGCCUGAUGCACUCUGCUAAUGCUAGAUGUAACUAACUGAUUCAGUCUCAAACGAACCUAUCUGACUCUGCAGCAGACCUUUAGAAUUUGGUUUCAAGCAGACUAAAAAUUACAGAGAGUACCAAAGCUAUCUUUUAUUGUUCAUUUUUUGUCAAAUAGAGUAAAUAUGAGCAUUUUCUGCUUGUCAACAGUGGGCAAGAGGCGCACAUGCUUGCGUGCAGCACUGAGUUGUACUGAUUUUCACAUAUCCCUAAUGACAUCGCUCUUAUACAGUUUGGUUCGAACACACCUCUAGAUGAGAUCAGGGAGGUAUUUGCGAUACUGCCUCAUGGUUCUAUUUUAUUGAUUUGAUUAAUCAACUAUUUCCCAGUUGUCUGAAAUGGUAGCAGCCAUAAGUAGAGCACCUGUGGGAUACAAAUGGCCAUCAAGUGAGAAGGCAAGAACCACUCUUCUAGAUGCAGGCAAGAGAAACGUGGAGCAGGAGAACCACUCUUCUUUUCAUUUCAAGUAAAUAAUUGUUGAAGCUAAAAACUAUUUUGCUUUCAAUCUUUAAAAUUUUGGAUUAUGUUUUCCUAGGUCCAAAAACAUAUCUUUAUACUCUGAUAGUGUUUGGGAUGCCUAAAUGGUCCACAAGCUUGGGAUGUCUGGACAUCACCUGAAGCAAGAAGACAACAUUGGUCAAUCGAUAGUGGUAGCAAGAAUUGAGAAUUUAUGUUUUAUACCUAGCUAAAUGUUUUUGAUGUAUUUUUUUUGUUAAUUUUAGCUGUAUAAUACACAUUUUUUGAAAUCUAAAAUCUGCAUGGCAAAUGUUAUUAAAUUUAGCUGUAUAAUACACAUUCUUUGAAUGGUGAAUGUACAUGACAAGUUUCUAUAAUAUACUGAAAAUGAUAGAAUGAAUUGGAUUUUCUCUUAAUUAUCUUAUUGUACUUUAUUUUUGUGAUAAAAUACCACCACAGUUUAGUAGUUUUCAUGUGCUGAAAUGAAGCCGUAGCGUUAGCACGGGCACUAUACUAGUUUUGCUAGGUAGCAAGUCAUUGUCCUGUAUAGACGAUCUGCUCAUAUGAGUUUUUGCUUUUAUGCCUAAGUGCAAUAAGUCUUUACAAUAUCAUCCAUUGGCCUGUCAUAUGAGGUGAUUUCUUUAACUUCUCUUGGAUUUUUCUUUAAACAUGUUAUUAUUAAAGUAGUAAUUUGUUUUUACAUAAUUCUAUUAAAAAUACCUGCAUGUUUUGAAGCACUGAUGUGUGUGACUUUAUUUGUAGAAACACUCAGAUAGCCUGUUCAAGUACUUUAUUUGUAGAAACACUCAUAUUUUACACCAGAUUUUAGUCCUCAAGUUGUCUUUAAGACAUCAGCAAGGUAGUGAAAACUAUGUGAUGAACAAUGCAUUUUUUUAUUGACAUUGACACUCCAGUAUUUGCUUUUGUUUUCCAGGUUGCAAUGGCUGUCAGAGAGUAGCACACAAAGGCAAAAGAAAGAGUUGUGACAGGAACUGAUUAUGCAGCAAUCUACAAGAAAGAGUUGUGACAGAACUGAUUAUGCAGCAACCUACACUUGAUGCGUUUGAUUAAAUGCAUGUUUUUUUUACAAUUUAGUUCUGAUGUGCUUGUAGCCGAGUGAUGUAACUAGGACGACCUGCACAUCAUGCUCUAUAGUGAUAUUCUAUGAACUUAUUAUAUUUAUAUUUGUGGCAAUGUUGUGGGUAUGUAACUUUAAUAAUUGUAUUAAUUAAUUAUCUCGAUGGUAAUGAGAUACAGCAUGUAGGCUGACUAUAUUGAUUGUAUGUGCAUGGGCUUAAAAAAGUGAUGUGGGCUGGACUGAAAAAAAAUCCUUCCUAAAAAAAUUUCAUGGGCCAAAAUUUAUACAAUUGUAAAUAGGCCAAUAAAGCGCUAAAACAUGUAACGUGCCUAGCCCAAAUAAUAGGAAGGACCCAUUAUAAGCCUGUGUGUUAUGUGGGCUUAAACUUGCCAAAUUGUGCUUUAGGUCCAAGAAAUCUAUGACUUUAAAUCAGUUGUCAUAAGUGUUUGUGACUUUCUAAAUCAAAGUCAUAAUGCUAUGACUUUACCCCCUAAAAGUCAUAAGUGGUCAUUAAAGACAGCCAUCUUUUGACAUUUCAUUUUUUGUCAACUUGGAGUCACAAAUGAUAACUUAUGACUUAUUUUCAAGGUAUUAUGACUAAUGUCAAAUGUCAAAAGAUGACUGAUUUCUUGUAGUGAAGGAGUUGAAGAGUUCAUGAAAUUUGUGAGCGAAAGAUAUCACAAAGACAGCCAGAUACUUUGCCCAUGUACGCGAUGUCUUAAUCAAAAAUUGUGGUCUCAGCCUGAUGUAAGCGACCAUCUACACAUUUAUAGAAUGUCACCUACAUAUACCAGGUGGAUUGGCAUGGGGAGUCGGCAGAUGUUGAAGUCGUUGAAAAUUUGGACCACCAGGAGGUCGAAGGAAGGGAUCAUGACUUUGGGAUACAUGUGGAUAUGGCCGAUGAUGACUAUGAUGAGGAUCACGGAGUACCAGAGAUGAUAGGAGAGAUGUAUGCUGCGGCAGAGGCUCAGGGAGAACAACCAAGGUUUACAAGAGUCCUUGAAGAUGCGAAGAAGUCUCUUAGCCCAGGAUCUAGGCAUUCUAAAUUCUCUUUUCUGUUGAGGAUGUUGUAUAUCAAGUCUCGUUAUCCAAUUAGCAAUGGAGCAUUUUUCGUAAUUAUGAAGCUGUUGUCAGAAGGUUACCCUAACAGUGAUUUGCCAAAAUCAUAUGAUGAGGCAAAGAAAUAUCUUAAAGAGUUGGGCCUUGGAUUUCAAAGCAUUGAUGUGUGCGAGAAUAAUUGUGUGUUGUUUCGGAAGGAGUAUAAAAAGGAUGAUGUGUGCCCAGUAUGCAAGGCGUCUAGAUGGAAAGAUGGAACUGGGGCCAAGCGUAUUCCACACUAGGUAUUGAGGUAUUUUCCACUUGUGCCAAGGUUGAAAAGAGUUUUUGCUUUGAAGCGAACUUCUAAAGAAACACAAUGGCACAAGAAUAUGAGGAAGCCAGUCGAUAAUGUAAUGAGCCAUCCAGCUGAUGGGGAAGCAUGGAAGCACUUUGACAGGAGGGAAGCCACAUUUGCAGCUGAUUCGAGGAACCUCAGACUUGCCUUAGCUACUGAUGGAUUCAAUCCAUUUGGCUACAUGAGUACGCAGUACAGUAUGUGGCCAGUGCUUGUGACUCCACUCAAUCUCCCACCAUGGGAAUGCGUGAAUCCAGUAAACUGCUUUAUGUGUUUACUCAUCCUCGGUCCAAAAUCCCUAGGAAAGGAUUUUGAUUUGUUCCUUGAGCCCCUUAUUGUGGACUUGCUUGAGCUAUGGAAGGGCGUCAGUACCUUUGAUGCAUGUAUUGGUCGGAAGUUUCACCUUCGUGCUGCCGUGCUGUGGUGUAUACAUGAUUUUCCAGCGUUGAGCACGUUAUCAGGGCGAACAACAAAGGGGUAUUAUGCAUGAAUUCAUUGUGACAAGGAUCCAUUGUUUCGGGCUAUUAGGAAUAAGCUAUGUUACAUUGGACAUCGUCGUUACCUUCCAAUGAAACAUGAAUGGAGGAGAAGCUUGGCUUUCGAUGGUAAGCCUAAAAAGAAAGAUCAACCAGACAAGUUCACUUUGGAGGAAGUCAUAGAGGAGCUAGAGAAGGUGAAAGACGUCAGGCCAGGGAAGCAUUCUGAAAUAAUUGGAAAAAAGGAAGCACAAUGAGGGUCCAAAGAUCUAUAGCCGCAAAGUUGGGUUGUGGAGGUUGCCAUACUGGAAACAUUUGUUACUGCCACAUAAUCUCGAUGUGAUGCACAUAGAGAAAAACAUUUGUGAAAAUAUUCUUGGGACAUUACUCAAUGUACCGGGCAAGAGCAAGGACACAACAAAUGCUAGGUUGGAUUUGCAUGAUAUGAAGAUAAGACCAGAAUUGCACUUACAGCAGCGUGGCAACUCAGUUGUUGCUCCACCUGCUCCAUAUGUCUUGGGGAAGGAACAAAAAAAGGAGUUCUACAAGUUUCUCAGAGGUAUCAAGUUUCCUGAUGGAUACGCAGCUAACCCAGCAAGAUACAUAAGUGAAGAUGGUUGAAAGGUUACUGGAAAGCUGAAAACACAUUCUUACCACAUACUGCUGCAAAGAAUCAUACCUGCUGGGCUAAGAGGCCUGGUGAGGAAGGAUGUAUACCAAGCAAUUGCAGAGCUCGGGAACUUCUUCAGGGAACUAUGCAGCAGAAAUUUAAGGAUUGAUGUUGUCAAACGGCUGAAACAAGACAUCCCAUUGAUCCUAUGCAAGCUUGAUAAAAUCAUUCCACCUGCCUUCUUUGAUGUCAUGGUGCACUUGGUUGUCCAUCUUCCUAAUGAGGCAUUGCUUAGGGGACCUAUUCAGUACGGAUGGAUGUACCCAAUAGAAAGGCGGCUAGGCACUUUGAAAAAUUUUGUGAGCAACAUGGGUAAGCCAGAAGGAUCAAUUGCUAAUGCAUAUAUGGCUAGUGACACCUUGACUUUUUGUUCAAGGUAUAUGGAGGAUAUAGACACUAGAUUUAACCAUGAUGAUGAUAGUGAUGGAGAGAGGCCAUUGCCUAAUGACAUAUCUAUUUUUAAGCAUGGUGUUGCUCUUGUUGGAUCUGAUAGGAGGCAGUACAAUGAUGAUGCCAUCCUGAAUAAGUUAGUUUGGUAUGUGCUAAAUAACUGUGAUGAACUUGACGAAUAUAAGGAGUAAGUAUCCUUUAGAUGUUUGUUUUUAUUUUAAAUAAUUUUAAAUUAUUCUUAUGACUACUUCAACUUUGACCUGCAGCUUGUUUUAAAUUAUUCUUAUGGGAUGGUCUACUGCAGCAAGGUGCACGACAACAUGAAGUUGAUAGAAUGGUUGAAGAAGGCUUUCCAAAGUGGUUUGAGCACCAUGUAAGUCACUACACAUUGUGUUUGUAGGUUCAUUAAUUAUUAAGUGCAUUAGUACCCAUAUGUAUUAAGUGAACUGAAUACUUAUGUUAUAACAGAUCGCGAACAAACGCAAGGAGAAUCCAGGUUCGGUUAGCGAAGGACUAUGGGCACUGUCAUGUGGCCCAGAUCUGCGAGUUAGGACAUGUGCAGCGUGCAAGGUUAAUGGAGUGCAGUAUAGCACUGUGGAUCAUGAGCGGUUCCUACACACGCAAAAUAGCGGUGUAAUGACUAACGGUUCACGUGAUGGGAAUGACAUAGAUUUUUAUGGAGUCCUAAAAGAGGUAAUUGAGUUGGAAUAUAACUCAAAUUUUCAAUUCCGUCGGACGGUGGUUCUAUUUCGAUGCGAUUGGUUCAAUCUACAUGGGAAGACAAUAGGCCUCCGAGACGAUGGAUAUUUCAAAUCCAUCAAUGUGAUGUCAUUAUGGUACAAGACUGAUCCUUUCAUCUUAGCAACUCAAUCGAAAAAGAUAUUUUACCUGCAAGACACAGCUUUAGGUAAAGACUGGCGAGUUGUGCUGAAAUUUCAACAUAGGAAUAUUUUUGAUGUGUCUGAAAAAGAUGAUGAGGCCAGUCAUGAGGUGCAUCAAGAUGAUUAUUGUUCUGAUAAUGAACAUGUAGUGCAAGAAGGUGCUGAUGAUGAGGUUAGGCAGAAUAAUCAAGGUGGCGAAGCCAGUAUACUUGAUGGAAAUUUAGAACUUAUAAGAAGCAAAAAACAACCUAUUAUUCAUGAUGAUACUGAGGAUGAGGAGGAAGAUGAGACAGUGGAGCAGUAUUGUAGUGAUGCUGGCAAUGAUCAAAUUGAUGACAUGUCCCUAGACGAUGAAGAUGAAGAAUUCUAGUAUGUACAUAGGGUGCACUAGAUGUGUGUGAUGACAUUCAUCUUUGCUCGAUCAUUAUGCUAUUGGGUCAGUUCUCAUUAUUAUUACUUUUCAGUUGUUUUUAAUGUCAUGUGUCACCAGUUCUGUUGUAUAAGUCAUCGAAGAUGGAGCAGCCACGGUCGCUGGUAGCUUCGAUCCGUCCUGCUUAGUUUCCAUUUAAGUAGUAAAACACUUGAGACAUACCUAACAAACUUCAGUAGUGCAGUGGUAAGCCAUAGCAACCUUGUCCCUCAGCUCCUAGGUUCGAAACCGCUGGAAACUUGUUUUUUAAUGUUUUCGCAACUUUUGUUUUAUUUUUUGUGUAUGAUAUAAUUAUAAAGCUACAAUGCCUUAAUAAUUACUAGAUAUUAUUUAACUUAGUUUAGUACUAUAUUACUGCUUGAUAAUUAGCCUCGUUCAUCAGCAUACAUCUUUUAACUUUUUUAGCUAUUAUUAUACUUAUGGGAGUUCUGUUGUAUAAGCCAUUGAAGAUGGAGCAGCCACGGUCGCUGGUAGCUUCGAUCCAUCCUGCUUAGGCUCCAUUUAAGUAGUAAAACACUUGAGACAUCCCAGACAGACUUCAGUAGCGCAGUGGUAGCAACAGCAACCUUGUCCCUCAGCUCCUAGGUUCGAUUUUCUGGACAAGGCAAUCCCUGUCCACCUGCUGGUUUUCAGAUUCCUAAGCCUUAGAUGGUUUUCAGAAAAGCUCAAUGGAAAAAGAUUUUUGCUGAAUUAUUUACACAACAAGAUGUAGCAAGAAUGUUAGACUGAAUGUUUAUCAAUGGAUUGAUUAUAAUGUCUGAGUUGCUAUCUGGAUGCCAAUCUAAAUAGAAGGUUAUCAUUAUAAAAUCAAGGAAUUGUUAACAAAAAUUAGAUGGAAAGGAGAAACACCUGCUUAUCAAACCACCUCUGCUUUUCCAUUUUUUUAUGUGAUUUUAAAUUUCAAUAUUCUGAGAAGAUGUAAAAGUUACUUGCAACUUGCGAAGCCUGAAAACAGUUUAAAUGUUCAAGGUUUGGUUUCAUUGUAAAGAAAUUUUAUUUAUGAACUUGGGUCAAUAGUUCACCCUAAAUUGGAACUAUGUAUGGCGGGCGCUAUCAAAUAAUGUACUCCUUGCUGAUCAAAGAUCUAAUAUUACUAAUAAUUUGAACCAAACAAAAAUGCUAAACAAAGUUGUUUGAUAUAUCUCUGCAACUUAGCUCUGAACUAUGAAGUUCAUAUCUAAAAAUAAAUUUUAGCAAGUAACCUUUGAGCUCCUUGAUCUACCAGUUCAAAGACUAAUUCAUAUAUUUGCUUUAACAAGUAAGGUAAAGAUACAGAUCAGGAAUAGAGCAGUUUUGCUUAAGGUUGUACGGACCACAUGCAUAUAGGAUUGGAAGAAAUUUUAUAUGGCAGAGUUAAAGUUUGACCGACAAACUACAACUAUGAACCCUAUACUUGGGACUCUAAACACAAAUUUGACAUUCAGUUUUGGAAGCUAAGUCUGAAAGCAGUUUUAGGAAUAACAUUUCUGGAAAUUUUGUUUCUUGCUUUCCAGCAGAGGUAGUAUCUAAUUUUCACUUCACAUGGGUUAGUCUCACAUAACGUACAGAUUUGCAAAGCUGCUUUUUUUCUUGCUUGCUAUGGCAAAAUAUAUAAGUACCUUCUGAAAAUAGUUAUGAGAUUACAUCAGUGUACUUAAGCAAUAUGAAGCAUUACUUCACCUUACUGGCACAGAACCAGAAGAGGAUGGACUUAGAUAUUUCUGGCUUGAGUUAAGCAUUUAAAAUCGAAUUGUUUUUUGUCAUUGCUUUCUUAGUCAAGUCAGCAUUAGAUAUAUACAUUUCUAAGUUGAUUAUCAAUCACCUAGUUGUUGCAUAAGUGUUACCAAAUAAUCUGUGGGUGCUUGUUUUUCAAAAUGCUGUUCACAGACCUGUUAGUGUCUAUGCAGAUUCCACAAUGGCUGGUAAUUGCAUUGCUAAUGGCUGCUAAUGGCUUGCAGUGUGCACCAUUGGUCUGUUUUCUCUAAUUUUGGAGUUUUGAUUGUUUUUAGCACCAGGUCACUUAGACAGUGUCUAAUUAUGGAGUUUGAUGGUUUUCAGCUCUCUGUUAGUGUCUAAUCUUGUUAAACUGUCUUUUCGAUAUGUAUUAACUUACUACUACUACCACACUACUGCUAUGCAGUGGAUGUUCCUAAUACUAGGACUACUUUAACUACUAUUUCCCCUCUCUUAUCUCUUCUCCUCCCUAGUCUACUUCUGCUGCAACUAUCUAUGGCCACCAACUCUUCCCUCUCUACUCUUGUACUGCUCUCCUCUUUACUCUUCAACUACUCUACUCUCUCUUAUCAUCUCUACUUUAUACUCAUCUCUACUAUUAGUACUAGUACUUCAAAGUAAUGUACAGAAUCACUAUUUUCUCCUCUCUUCUCUCUUCUCCUCCCUACUCUGCUUGUGCUAGUACUCUCUAUGGUAGCCAAAUCUCCCUCUGUACUUGUUGACACUGUUUUUGGACACGUAUCUUUGGAUACGCACCUGGAGUUAAUGAAGUGUACAUCGGCAGGUGUGGAAGUCUACAGGGGAGUUGCCGAUGAAGGUUGGUGCCGAUGAGAAAACGACAUGGUAUGGCCAAGUACAAGAGUGGUGAAGCGUUCGUGCCGAUGACUAGUGCUGAUGGUUGCCGAUGGCUGUGAGAGGCGGUCUGCCGAUGCUUAUGGAGAAAAGAGCAGGGGAUGCCGAUUGACUUGUUGCAGUGUACCGAUCGGUUGCGGAGGAUAAUUUAAUGUUUUCCUUAGUUAUUAGAAUUCGUUUUGUAUACGGAUUCCAUUUAAUUUGGAAUUCGAGUUCUAGUCGUGUCUGGUUGUAGUUCUUUUGAACAGGGUAUAAACAUAGACCCCGUGGUAAUGUAAUGAGAUAUCUAUCAAUCAAUCAAACACAAGUUUUUACACAUAUUCUAGCAUCUACUUUUCGACGACUUCGUCAUAUUUUCCUUUUACUACGAGUUCUUAGGAAUUCAUCGAGUCAAACUCGGCGUGUUCUCAAGUUCCGCGUGAGCACCUCUUGGCCGUGACAUCUGGGCGCAUCGCUGUUGUCAGGACCAAAGUGUUCGAGUUACCACCUUUAUCGAUUGUAAGGUCAAAUCGGCUGGCACGCCUUAACGUUUAAAUCGGGUAUUAGACCUUUGUGUUUGCAGAUCAGCUUUUGCAUCAACACAUCUUUUGGCACGCCCAGUGGGACCAAGAUUCAAGAUCAAGAUCAACAUGUCGAGCACCGAUUUUGACUUGGAGAACGUCAUCCCCGUGACGAAAGCCAAUCUCAGAGAUGAGCAGAAGCAAGCUAUGGCAAAAUCCAUGGAGGAUUACAAGCAGCUAUGCUUGAAAUCCUUCAGUGUCAACAGGAGUGGCGAGGUGAUCCAAAAGGAGGCAUUGCCGGCACCUCGGCAAAUAACUUUUGAAGCCAAUCCUGGUAAAUUGCAAGAGAUGGUUGAUAGUGUUGUCAACCAUGCUCUGAUCAAUCAAUCUGGUGUACUAUCCAAUACGGUUUUCAAUGCUGUGGCUAGAACUUUCAAAGAAGGACAAGUACCACCAUCUUACGUGGGUCCUGCCUAUCAUCAGCAAGGGUCAUCAGUGGUUACAGCUCCAUCGGCUACUACAGCCGUUGCAGGUGUAGAAGUUACUUCCCCUCCAAGCACGUUAGGGAUGACUAAUGCGCAGUCUACACCGAUGACAACUAAUCCAUCAACGUCGGACGGGCAAAUCAAACUUGCUACGUAUUUAUUGGCAACGGCAAUGUCAGGGUCUGUUCCUCCCAACUGGUGGGGUUAUGGUAUGCCCCCAGAAUUGAUGGCAAAAGGUCCUGGAACAUCUCAAAUGGCUGACGUGACAGGCAAGGCUCCUAUGGCAUCGACACCUCCAAAUUCGCCGAUGACUCAGAAUCCCCAGUAUUCUACAACUACUACUGCAAGACCUUUCACCGGGAAUUCUCAAGCGCCAAUGUUCCAGAUGCCUAACGCAUCGGCAGAUCCAAUGCCGAUGCAGCAGAGGUUUGUGACACAACUAGGGUAUGUCAAUUCAAUGAUGAUGCCCAACUAUCAAUCAUCGGCAGGACCUACGCCGAUGAAUGUUAAUAGUGGAUGGACAGGGCAGUUUGUUUUUCCACAGAUGCCUCAGCAGAAUCAUCAGGCUGUAGGGUUUCAACAGGGAGCAGUCCAACCCGGGUUUCAGAAUCAAGGGUUGAUCAACCAGCCGACGAAUUUUGGCCAGCAACUUGGUGGUCAGUAGGCGAUGGUUAAUCCAAUAUUCCAUGGAGAUCGUACACCGUAUCCUCCUGCAUAUGACUUAAUUCCACUUCCAAAUCGGUACAAGGUAUCGGAUUUCACCAACUUUUCUGGGCAGGAUGAUACAUCGACUAUGGAGCAUGUUAACAGGUUAAUCAUUCAGUGUGGAGAAGCUGCUAACAGAGAUGAGUUAAGGGUUCGCUUAUUCUCAUCAUCCUUGUCUGGAUCGUCUUUUACUUGGUUUAUUUCGCUACCUCCCAACUCAGUUAUUACUUGGGCCGAUCUAGAGAAACAAUUUCAUAAAUACUUCUUUUCUGGAGUUCAUGAGAAGAAGAUUACUGAUUUAGUCAGGCUGAAGCAACACAACGAUGAAUCGGCUGAAAGUUUUGUGCAAAGGUUGCGAGAGGUUAAGAAUAAGUGCUAUAGUCCGGUUUUGGACGAUCGGCAACUAGCCGAUUUGGCUUUCCAGGGGUUGUUGCCACAUAUGAGAGACAAAUAUGCUUCUCAAGAGUUCGAGAGUCUAAGUCAUUUGGUGCAGAGAAUUUCUGACCAAGAUAUUAAACCUUUUAAACCUAAGAGAGCAUGGAAUAAAAAGGUGUCAUUUGUCGAUGAAGUAGCAAGCUCAGAUUCUGAUGAAGAACCAGUUAUCGGCUUGGCAGAAUGGGUGAAGAAUAAGAAAUCGAUGUCUUGUCCUUUUGGGCAUAAGGAACCGGAGAAGUUUGCAUUUGAUAUCACCAAAGCCGAUAGGAUAUUUGACUUUUUACUUCAGGAAGGGCAAAUCAAGUUGUCACCCAAUCAUGUGAUUCCAUCGGCAGAAGAGUUAAAGAAGAUGAAAUAUUGCAAGUGGCAUAAUGCAACAUCUCACAGCACAAAUGAGUGCAAGGUUUUUAGACAACAGCUGCAAUCGGCUAUAGAAUCUGGGAGAAUUAAGUUUGAUAAUUCCAAAGCUCAGAAGCCGAUGAAAAUCGAUCAACAUCCUUUCCCUACAAAUAUGUUGGACGCUAAGGGAAAAACUAAGGUCUUGACAUCAGAGGCAGCUGAAAGAAGUGCAUCGGUUUGUCUUGCGUCGAUCAACAUCCUUUCCCCAGGUGUUUGUCUUGUGUUUUGGCACUUACAUUUCAUGAGCAUAAGCAUCAUUUGUUCAUAUAUGAUAGUAUGAAACAUACUUUGAUGUUGUGACAAGUGAAUGCUUGAUGAUCCUGCAUAAUAGAGCUUGUAGGUGUUGAUGGUGCUUCUUUCACAUGUAUCACCUCCAUAUCUACCUAGGUUGAUCACUGAAAAAGUUUCAUGAAGUUUGGAUUCAAAAGGUCAAAUGAAAGGAUAAGUUACAUGCUUGUUGGAAUGACCUUAUCAAGUGAACGGAACCUUAGGUUACUAACCUAACCUUGCAAUCUUGACCAAAUGACUCUAGAUGAACUCUACAACAAAAGUCAUGAAGGGUUCAUGUUGAACUUGUGCCAAGAAAAUGCUUUAUUUGCUCUAAAAUCCUAGUUUGAGCUUUAUCAAGUUGAUACUUUGACCAAAGUGAAAGUUUAACUUUGGUACAACUGUACAAGUUAUGAGGUUUGACCUUAAAUAAAAGUUGUAGUUUUGCUUCUGUAGAACAAACUUUAUUUAAUGGUCAAGAGCUAGUUUGGUGCCUAUCCUAGUCAAAUUAAGAUCACAAGAUUCAAUGCAGUGCUGUUUUGGAUCUCAGAAAAUUUGGCUAAGUCAUCUGUGAUUCAGUUUCGGGUAUCCUAGUUGGGAGCUUUGUAGGUUCCUAACCAAGCUGAAACAGUCUUUAAGCCUUUAACAAUAGUUGUAGAUCAGUUCAUUUUCUACAAACUUUAUUUAAGGCCUCAUAUCUGAAUCAUCUUCUAAGAAUGUCAAAUAAUGGUCACAAGUUUGAAUCUGCUAUAGUUUCCAGCACUUAGAAUUUCUAAGUCUAGGAUUGCAGUCCAUCGCGUUGGCAUUCCGCGUUCUCCAAAUUUUGUUAAACAACUUGAGUUGAUCCCUUAAUAAAAUUUAGAGUAUAUAUUGUGGACAAGAGUAUACAAAAAGAUAACACCAGUUUGACUUUGUUUGGGUCAUCAAUUUUUGAGUUUUGCUAAUCACUAUCAAUACGUUGACACUCGUGGCUUGGCAUCUAAUUAUCUCCUAAUCUGUUGCUCUAAUAGCUUCGCACCCUGAGUCAAUGUUGGAGAGUAUCAAGAGUAGAGUAAACUUCGUUUUGGGUCCAUGUCCAAAUUCGGUCUAGAUCUGUCCCAAAUCGGCUUCCCACGUCGGCCACACGGUCACCCGCCACGUGCUCGACGAAAUGCGUCAAAGAGCAACCCGUGUUCUGGACGUGUCCUCCAUGCAGUGACCGCGCCCCCACCAUUGCUGCACAUGUGCUAGUGCUCCAUCUCGCGUUGGGACAGCCAGAAGGGCUCUCCACUCCGUCACUCACUCGCCUCCACAUCCUCCUCCACUCCCUGCUCGCCAUCCUCGCCCUCACAGCAAGUUUUUGAGUAUGCUCCGCCAUGGCCAUGGCCAACGAGCAGAGCUCGAGCUCCUCCUGCUGCUGGCUGCAUCCGGCCAAGGCCAGGGCCGGGCGUGGCCAUGGCUAGCCUAGCCUAGGCCAGGCCGCCGGCCGCCUCCCUGCUGCCACCGGCAGCUCUCCAGCAGGAUCCGAUGCCGGCCAUGUCUUUGCCUCCUCUGUGUCCUCUGUUCCUUGAAGAGAGAAGAGAAGGGACCUGGGCUUAGAAUAAAAAACAACUCAGGGUUCCAGAUGCGAAGCCAAGACUCAUAUGAAUAGUGGUUGUGGGCUGUGGCGAGAUUCUUGAAAACUCUAGGGUUCCCGGUGCAAGAUCUGUUUUCCUUUUUGUUUUGUUUUAGCAGAUUUCUGGGUGAACUUUGUUAAUGCAUAGAAAUUCAUAGAAAAAUCGUAAAAUAGCAAAUGGGGAAUUUUUGGAAUCCUUGUGAAAUUCUCUAUGCAGUAGAUCUAUAAUAUACCAUGUUUAGAUUUCUGGGUGAACUUCUCCAGGUUCUUCAAUUCAUAAUCCUGAGUUCUUUAAUUACUUUUAUUUACAUUCAAGUUAUUUAUUGGAUUCCCGCUUGCAUCAAGUGCUCUAGUCUUUAUAACGCUAGAGUAGUAAUUAAUAGAUUAGACGUGGUGUUUAGUCUUGCAAUUACCUGGAAUUGCACCCAAUCCUUCGGAUUGUUGUGGUAGCCUUAGGGUAGUGACAGCCCUAACGGUCGACGUAUUCCACCUCGUUCGGAUCGGUGUUUGUAGGACCGUAGUCAGACCUUCCUAGCCCCCUUCUCAUCUCUUUCUGUGGUUAGUGCUUUGAUGUCCCGAUAUAGAUAAUCUUGAAGUAAUUCUUGAUUCUAAGAUCAACUAGAGAACUCUCAGGAAACUUCCUCUGUUCCCACCAAAAAUAUUCAUAUAGUUAUCCUUGGGCGAUCUUGAUUCUUAAUUAGUACACUCACAUUCUCUGUGGAAAAUCGAUACUCUGGAAUACUCCUGGGUGAAAGCUACAUCGGUAUCCGUGCGCUUGCGGAUUUUUCUGUUUGCGUUUAAAAUACCCAACAAGCUUUCUGGCGCCGUUGCCGGGGAACGGUAGCUGUGCUAGUUUCGAACCAAGUCGUCCGUGUAUCCUUUUUUCUUUUCCUUUUUUACCACACUCACCUUAUCAUUUUCACCAUACCACAUGGAUUUACUCUAAGCAUAAAUGAGCAUGGAAUAUAUUUCAUAGCCACUUCAUUUACUCCAUGCUCAUAUGCAACAUCUUCACAAUCCAUUGGUCUCUCCAACAUCACCACAUUCGAGAUCUCCAACCCCCUCUUCCUUUCUAUUCAUAAAACUUUACAAGGGCGGUUGUCGAUGCAUAUGUCUAUAUUAAAUAUUGCAGAUCUCGUUGAGUUGAUCUUGAUAUAGGUCAGCGUUGGAGGGGAAACCACUUCGCCGACAUAAAUCGAUGGUUUCCCAAGGACAAGCUUAGUGUCCUAAAAUAAGCACUGAUCAGAUCAUAACAUGAGCUUUUAAUUAUUUGCAAUAUUACCUUGUGUAUUGAGCAUAUAAGGAUAAUUGUAAAAAAAUUCCUUCGGGUAUUCUUGUCACUAACCUUUCCAGGAUUGGAGCAAGAAGAUCGGAUGAAUGACAAGCACAAGGUAUGUCCAACCAAUCAUCAUACAACAUUGAAUUAAAUUCAUCCAAACUUGAAUUUUGCAAAAUUCAAGCUUGGGGGAGUACUUUACAUAAAAACAUCCUUUGCCAUGUUGCUAUGUUGGUUGUCCCUACCUUUGAGACAUGCUCAAUUUGUUAAAUACUAAUCACACUACUUCAUAUCCACUUGAGUAGAUCUCUAUAAAUACUCUCAUGCUACCUUUAUUUGCUUUAGUAUAUGUCUAGGUUUGGAGUAGUUUCAUUUAUCUCUUAAUUAAGCUUGGUGCUUAGUUUAGGAAUGAUGAUCUUACUUCCAAGGAGUUUUAAAUUAAGCAUGGUGCUCAGGUUAAAAUGCCCUCCUGAAUCAAAUUAGACAUGGUGUCUAGGUUGAUUUUUGAGCCGAUAGUAUGCUAUAGUAGAUAUUGGAUAUUUUGUUGGACUAACCCCUACAGGAAAACUUUCACUAUCGACCUGGGAAGUCCUGGGAUAAACUCACAUUGGAGACAAAGAGAGAGACACAUGAAGUUUAACAAUUUGCACGAGGAAGGCAUAGCUCACAAGAGAUGAUCCAUGGAGGGUGCCACAAACACGAUGCACAACCGCAAAGAAAGGAAAGCUUCCACAAGGAGAUACUGUACCAUCACUCUUCAAGUAAGGUAACAUCUUAAGGUACUUGACUAUCACUUUUAUAAGCUUCUCCUUGGUUCUGGCGUUCACAUGAAUAAAAGAGACAAACAUGUAUGAUUUACAACUCUAAAAUAACCAACCCAAUUAAUUCAACAUGUUUAGUCCUUUAAUCUUUGUUUAUAGUACUACCUUCGUGAUCCCACACUCGUAAUCAUAUAAGCUAAAAUGUUGCACAUUCAAUCUCUGGAAGAUAUAAUCAAAACAUAAGUAUACAUAGAUUAUCUUUCCAUUAGGUUGAGCGAUGUGAUGUGAAAAAUGUUUUAAAUAUUACACUCAUGAUCUUAUUAUCCAUCAACUUGGUCUUGCUCAUUAUGCUUAAGGAUAGAGAAGAAUAAAUACACUUUUAGUUCUGUUGGUGUUUUCCACCAACAGGGCCCAUGCACUUGAUCUCUGCCUUGUCUCUAUGAGCAGGUACACUUUAAGCAAAACAUGGAAGAGUUUUACAACUCCCAGACUCCACCAAGUGAAGAACCUAGAUCUACGAGCUCAAACACACUGGAGAUACUGGACACUCAGGCAAUCACUGCCCUAAGAUGCUUAAGGACGUAACUUUUGGAGUAACCCUGUUGUGGAAGUAAUUACUGACCUUCUGCCAGUCAAGAGAGGCGACCCACGAUGCCCCGUCAUCCCGAUCUCCAUCGGCAUGGUGGACUUCCUAGAAGCAUUCUACGACUUUGGCUCCAGCGUUAACAUUAUGCUCAGGGUACUCUAUGAAAAAUUCUUUACACAUCCUUUCCUAGAAACAACCAUGUGUUUGCAGCUUGCAGAUCAGACACUAAGUUUCCCAAAGGGAAUAUUGAAGAACCUCUACGUCCGAGUUGGUACCUUGUACGCCCCAGCAGACUUCGUGGUGAUAGAGACUGGUACUGAUGAGAGGGCACCCAUCAUCUUAGGGAGGCCAUUCCUGAACACCUCGGGAGCUAUCAUCUACGCUAGUGCUGCCAUUAUCAGUUUCUACAUCAAAGGGAGGAAGGAGACGUUUUCCUUCACGAGCAAGACUACACAAAUCUCAGAGCAAUCCCGACAUGAACCAAGGAAGAGGACCAACAAGAGGAACAUGAACAAGCAAAUGUGGACCAAGUCAGCAAAGAUGGUCACUGCAGUUCAAGGAGGUCAAGAUCGUCGACUUAAGUCACCGUUCGUAACCAAAAAGGACGAUCCAAGUAUGCCAAGCAUCCAGUGCUCCAUUGAUGGAUACAACUUCCAGAAGAUGCUUUGCGAUACCGGGUCAGGCGUCAAUAUAAUGGCCGCCAGUCACCUAUCAGCUCCUAUUCGGAACCAUGCCCCUAAAACCGACAUACAUUCAGCUUCAGAUGGCAGAUCAGACAUUCCGAAAGGUUAUAGUCAUGGGAGAAGACGAAUUCAAUCCACUCGUCAUCAUUGGGAGACUGUUCCUCAGCACCGUUAAAGCAAUCUUCUACAUUGGAACUAGAGAAGUCCACAUGCACUUCCCCUCUGAGAAGGUACGCCGCUAUUUUACUGAACCUAACUACAGAGUUGAAGACUCUAAGCAGAUCAGGGCAAGAAGAAGACGACGCAACCGCAACCAGAGGAGGCAAAUCAUCAAGGACGGACGGGCAGACUAUGAAGGAGAAGUCGUAAGGUCUGAAGACAUACAGCUUGAACAGAACUGUCGUGAGGAGACCGUAGCACCAAGUUAGGUGUGGAGAGAGAAGAUAGUUAUACACGAAGAAGAAGCGUCGCCGGAACCACCGACUACGCCAUUCAACGAAUCCUAGGACGACUGAGAAAACGGAGAGUCCCGUUCGGAGGACUUAAAAACACCGAACGCCUUGCCAAGAGGUAAACUUAGUAGUUAUCUAUUUCCUUUCAAUUAUUUAAAAUAGUUUGCUUAGUUAAUCAUAUUCAUACUAUCUUGAAAAGAAAAUAAAAAUGUUAAAAAAUAGUAAGCCCCAUGUGAGUAUGCUCAUGGCAUAAAACCCAUAAGUACAUUCACUGUGGUGGCAUAAAAAUAAAAUAAAUAUAUUUAUGUUCUAUAAAAAUGAAAAUAUAAAAAUAAAUUUAUGAUCCUACCAAAGAGUGUAAUAUUUAUUGAGGAGGCUCAACAUGAUAAAGGCUAGAUAUUUAUGCUAACACUUAACCAGUUCCACAGAGCUUUGUUGUCUAUUUGAGCUCCACAGAAUUCAAGGAUCAAAGAAGACUAGCAGACAGAGGACAUCCUAAUCACUGUCAGUGUGCUGCCGACAUGCAAAUACACCUCCGCCACCUGCUACAUCAGAAGAAAUUACGUCAAAAUCCAGCUUGGGGGAGAGUACCCCUAUUUAUCCAGCUAAGUGUUUCUACUCACGUUUAUAUUUUACUCAAAUAAUAAAACGAUGCAUAAUCAUAAAAACCCAAAUAAAGAUUUUGUGCUUAUAUAUAUAUCGUUGCUUAGUUUGCUAAAUAAAUAAAAAAUAAAAUUUGCUAUGAACCCUCGUGAUAAGCUCUCACAUAGAAAUGAUGAAUAGUUGCUCUGCCAUGUACCUAGUUUUCAAGUUUAAGCUUUCUCUCAAGUUUAGGCAUAACUGUUAUAAUUUAAACCUGCUCUAAACCUGAACUUAUGGGGAGAGUACUUGAUCUAAAGUCUAAGUCGUUAACGGAUACGAUAUGGGAAGGUUGAGCUGUUGUUUAUCUGUUCCUAGAGAUGCUAGAAUUGUGGAGAAUUUUAUCUUUGAAAAUCUUUAAAAUAACACAUGAUGAGUUCCUGUAUGAUGAGAGUUUAAAUUCCUACCACAGCCAUAUAUACAUGCUUGUUAGACUAUGAACCAUACAUUACUUUUUACUGCUUAUGAGCAUUGAGUGUGGUCAAGCUGUGUAGACCCUUAGGAGAUUGUCAUGUGGUUAAAUCAAGAUUCACUUGCACGUUCACUCACACAUGCUGCUUCUACUCCGGAAGUAUGCAUCCACAUAUAUCCAUCCAUUUCCAUCUCCAGAACCACCCAAAUAUAAUCUACUCCUAAUCCGGGAGAGAAUAGCCAAAAACAUUCGCCUAUUCUUGUUUUCUCUGUGAAAUAAAUGCUCAAGUUAUCUUGGUUACUACCACUUGCUAUAUUAUUUCAGGAGAUGAGUGCUCUAAUAAAAAAAAGAAAAGAGAAAAAAAAGAGAUGCGAGGAAAUAAAAAGGGGCAAGUGCCCGGAACCUUGAAAGAAAAAAAAAGUGAGACGAGAGGUAAAAAUGGACAAGUGUCCGACAGUAGAAUUAGGGCUACAAGAUACCCACCUGAGAGAAAAGAAAAAGAAAAUAUAGAGCAUCUCAUUCUCUCCAAAAGUUUCAAAAGAGCAAGAAAGGUAUGUAUCCCCUCAAAAGAGCACAAGUGGAAUUAGACUUUCACCAUUGUUAUCACCAUCAUACACCAUUCAUUCGCCACACAUGCACAUCUUGAUUUGACUUAUUGACUUGUUCUUCUGGAUCCAUGGUUUGACUAUGCAAUAAAUGUCUUGUAAGUAUGUAUUAGCUGUUUCCCACCUAUGAGCUCCAGAUAUCAAAAGCCUUAUUAGAGUAGGGUGAGAGAGAAGGCAAUGCCACUAUGCCUUAUACCACAAAUACCACAUACUUUGAGAGAAGGCAUACACCAUUACUGCCUUGGUAAGGAUCCAAAAAUACCACAAAAGAGAGACUAGAGAGAGUCAUACAAGGAAUCUCUGAGUUUUAUUUAAAAAUCUGCAAAAACUCCAGAGCUAUAGUUAAUCGAAGAACAAGAGACAUGGUGCUUGACUAGACCGUUCUAUCUUUUAACUGCUCAAGACACAAGUGACGGAUACAAGCCCCAUGGUGGAAGGUAAAAUGAGUAAAUUUAAAUCUUAAAAGUUUACCCUAACCCAGAGAUGAGAUAUUGUUUGAACGCAUGUGUAUCUUUAAGGCAUGGAACCACUGCAGAAACUCUUGAGUUCAUCUUUGCUCAGGGACGAGCAAAGGUUAAGCUUGGGGGAGCUUGUUGACGGUCCUUAAUGCUCAAAUUUAACCAUAAACUAAUCAGGGAAAAAGACUUAUAUAUAGACAACACUUAGACUUAGGGUUUUAUCUGACAGAAUUCCAUGAGUUUUGGAGUUUGUCUAUUUCUGCAGGGGGUUAUCAGGAAAUAUGAAAGAAAGGCCCACACGUCAGGUUUACAUAGAGAUAUUAACGUGCCGCGCAAUUUUCUACCAUCUAGAAGACUCCAGAAGCCACGGGAACGAACAGGAGGCCGUUCGGGCCCGGGGGCAGGGUGCCCGCCCAGCUACAGUAACCAAUCAGCUUCAACUUCGCGGAUCGUGCUCCACCAACCUAAGGGACCAAGGAAAACCGUGUGAUUAAUGUCGGUUUGAUCCGAUGGCCCAGAUUCAUCUGAAAAGACUAUAUAAGCAAGGCCCCCUGGCCCCUGGAGAGCAUACCUCUUCUACAGAAUCAAAGCUAGGGUUUCAAUUCUUCAUCCAAGUAGAGAGGAUCCCUCUAGUUCUUCUAGUUCUACCUCUAGUUCAUCUAGAUCUAGUUCUAGUUCAUCUAGUUCUAGUUCUAGUUCCUCUAGUUCUAGUUCUAGUUAGUUCUAGUUGUAAUCUAGAAAAUAGGGAGAGAGAAGAGGAGAGAGGAGGAGGAGCCAGAUCUGUCGGAUCUUCCUCAACAUUAUACUUUUGCAGCAUCUGGUUCAUUCUUCAUCGUUCUCCAGGUUCUUCAAUUCAUAAUCCUGAGUUCUUUAAUUACUUUUAUUUACAUUCAAGUUAUUUAUUGGAUUCCCGCUUGCAUCAAGUGCUCUAGUCUUUAUAACGCUAGAGUAGUAAUUAACAGAUUAGACGUGGUGUUUAGUCUUGCAAUUACCUGGAAUUGCACCCAAUCCUUCGGAUUGUUGUGGUAGCCUUAGGGUAGUGACAGCCCUAACGGUCGACGUAUUCCACCUCGUUCGGAUCGGUGUUUGUAGGACCGUAGUCAGACAUUCCUAGCCCCCUUCUCAUCUGUUUCUGUGGUUAGUGCUCUGAUGUCCCGAUAUAGAUAAUCUUGAAGUAAUUCUUGAUUCUUAGAUCAACUAGAGAACUCUCAGGAAACUUCCUCUCUUCCCACCAAAAAUAUUCAUAUAGUUAUCCUUGGGUGAUCUUGAUUCUUAAUUAGUACACUCACGUUCUAUGUGGAAAAUCGAUACUCUGGAAUACUCCCGGGUGAAAGCUACAUCGGUAUCCGUGCGGCUACAUCGGUAUCCGUGCGCUUGCAGAUUUUUCUGUUUGCGUUUAAAAUACCCAACACAUGCCAAUAGCACUGGCGGCUCGUCAAUCCCCCUCCACAAAGGGGUUGUGAACCGCCUCUAUAGUACCUUUCUGUACUAGUGUCAGGGCACCAAGAGUUUGACUGAGUAUCUUCAUGCUUUCAAUAACUUGUCUCGCUAUGCUACUGAGUUUGUAGACACUGAUGCCAAGAAUCUUGCUAGUUUCAAGAGGGGACUCGGGCCAAGCUAUCAAAAAACAUGGCUGGUAACAAGAGUACCACCUUCAAUGAGUUCGUGAGUGAUGCCUUGACUGAAGAGAACUCUAAUGCGAUCUAUGCUGCAUCCAAGAACCGCAAGAGGGCCUAUGAAGCAGGUGCUUCACAGUCCAAGGCUCUAGUGGCAACCAAGCCGACUUAUCACCCGCCCAAUGUUGUGACCAGGUACAAGCCACCUUAGAAGAAGUCUAACGUGAAGAUGGGGAUUUGCAAAUCUUUCACUAUUGCUCUUCCUAGGGGCGCCACAGGUCAAGGGAGCUCCAAUACUCCCCCUGCUAAUCGUCCCUACUUUAACUGCAAGCAAGUUGGUCAUUGGGUGAGAGAUUGCCCUUAUUCUAAGAGGAAUUCUGUAGCUAGAGGCAAUGUACAUCCCGGCCGAGUGCACUACACCACCAUUGAAGAAAUUCCUACAGGUGAAGUGGUUACGGCUGGUAUGUUUCUUGUCAAUCAACACCCUACAGUUGUUUUGUUUGAUUCUGGAGCUUUGCAUUCUUUUAUGAGUCAAGCAUUUUCAUCUAAGCAUGGGCAAAAUGUAGUGGAUAUUGAUAAGGGCAAAUUUUGCAUUAGUGCUGCUGGUAAUCAAAUCUCUACUAACCAAUUGGUAAGAAAUGUACACCUUGCCAUUGAGGGGCGUAACUAUUCAGUCGAUCUUGUAAUUUUGCCUGGCUUAGGAAUAGAUGUUAUUUUGGGGAUGAAUUGGAUGAGCGGCCAUGGUGUGUUAAUAGAUACCUCAACAAGGGUAAUCAUGUUGAGGGAACCUGAUAGUAAAGAAGAUUUCUUAGUCCAUCUUCCUAGAGAUGAUGACAUCCGUCAUGCUGUGAAUGCUAUAAGACCACUCAUUGUGGCAGAAAUCCCUGUAGUGUGUGAGUUUUCGGAUGUUUUUUCCAGAGGAUCUACCUAGGUUGCCUCUAGACAGAGACAUCGAGUUUAAAAUUGAUCUAAUUCUUGGCACUGCACCUAUCUCUAGAAGGCCAUAUUGAAUGCCACCAAAUGAACUAGCAGAGUUGAAGAAGCAAUUGCAAGAACUCCUAGAGAAGGGUCUUAUUCGGCUUCUCCAUGGGGUUGUCUCGCUCUCUUUGUCAAGAAGAAGGAUAAGUCUCUCCGUAUGUGUGUAGACUAUCCUCCGCUGAGUGCCGUCACUAUCAAGAACAAGUAUCCCUUGCCUCACAUUGAUAUUCUGUUUGACUAGUUAGCCAAGGCCAAGGUAUUCUCAAAGAUUGAUUUGAGAUCUGGAUAUUAUCAAAUCAAGAUCUGACCUGAAGACGUUCCUAAAACAACUUUCUCUACCAGGUAUGGGCUAUAUGAGUAUUUAGUCAUGUCCUUUGGUCUAACUAAUGCCCCUGCUCAUUUCAUGUACCUAAUGAAUUCGGUGUUCAUGCCUGAAUUGGAUAAGUUUGUGGUGGUGUUCGUCGAUGACAUAUUGGUGUAUUCUGAAAAUGCCCAAGACUAUGAGAAGCACCUUCGGAUUGUACUCACCAGAUUGCGUGAACAUCAGCUCUAUGCCAAGUACAGCAAAUGUGAGUUUUGGCUGAAGAAAGUGCCUUUCCAAGGCCACAUUUUGUCCGAAGAUGGAAUCUCUGUUGACCCAUCAAAAGUGCAAGAGGUUCUAGACUGGAAAGCCCCGACUUCAGUACAUGAGGUUCAUAGUUUUCUCGGCCUAGCGGGUUAUUAUUGUCGCUUUAUUCCAGACUUUGCUAAGAUAUCCAAACCUAUGACCAAGCUGCUGCAAAAAGAUGUGAAAUUGGUGUGGUCUGAGGAGUGUGAAGUCACUUUCAAUGCUUUACGCCACUUGCUGACCACUGCCCCUGUUCUAGCACAACGUGACAUUGAAAAGCCAUUCGAUGUUUUUUGUGAUGCCUCUGGCAUCGGUUUGGGCUGUGUGCUUAUGCAAGAAGGCCGAGUCAUUGCCUAUGCCUCUCGGCAGCUGAGGAAGCAUGUAGUCAACUAUCCUACUCAUGAUCUAGAGUUAGCGGCAGUUGUGCAUGCAUUGAAACUCUAGAGGCACUAUCUAUUGGGUAAUUUGUGUCAUAUUUACACUGACCAUAAGAGCCUCAAGUAUAUCUUCACCUAGCUCGAGCUGAACAUGAGACAAUGAAGAUGGUUAGAAUUGAUUAAGGAUUAUAAUCUUGAAGUGCACUAUCAUCCAGGCAAAGCCAAUGUUGUAGCCAAUGCCCUUAGCCGAAAACAACACGUUAGACCUCUCCUCGAAGAAGGCUUCAAUUUGUUGCACCCUGUAGUCUUGCAUAACAUCAUGGUCAGUUGUUCUCUAGAAAGCCAAAUCAUAGAACCACAAAAGACCGACCCUGGUAUCUUCCAUAUCAAGAGAAAAAAAGAAAGAGCAAGACACCAAGCAUUUCAGGGGUGAUGAGAAAAGUGUGCUGUGGUUUGAUGAUCGACUUGUAGUACCCAAAGUCCGUGAGAUCCAAAAUAAAAUACUCGAUGAAGCUCACUCCUCUAAGCUAUCCAUCCAUCCUGGUAAAAGCAAGAUGUGUCAGGACUUGAAGCCUCAUUUUCAGUGGACCAAGAUGAAGAAAGAAAUAGCAGCUUAUGUUGUUAGGUGUGAUACCUGCUGCAGGGUAAAGGCAAUUCACCGUAAACCUAUAGGUCCGUUGCUACCUUUGUCAGUUCCAGGGUGGAAGUGGGAAGAAAUCAGCAAGGAUUUCAUUGUUGGGCUUCCCCCUACCCAAAAAGGUCACGAUUCCAUAUGGGUGAUAGUGGAUCGCUUGACCAAGUCAGCUCAUUUCAUCUCAGUGCGAUCUAACUACCGUCCAUCCGACUAUGCUGAGUUGUAUUUCUCCUAGCUCGUUAAAUUGCACGGAGUGCCUUGAAACAUUGUUUCAAAUAGAGGUCCUCAGUUCACCGCUCGCUUCUAGGAACAUUUACAUUCACUCCUUGGUACAAAAUUGAUUCACAGUUCGGCUUAUCAUCCUCAAACUUCUGGUCAAACUAAGCGUGUGAAUCAAAUUUUGGAGGAUAUGUUGAGGGCAUGUGUCAUCUCUUCCAAGGGAGCUUGGGAGAAAUGGCUACCCUUAGCUGAAUUCUCUUACAAUAAUAGCUAUCAAGAGAGUAUUCAGAUGGCUCCUUUCGAAGCUUUAUAUGGCCGCAAAUGUAGGACUCCUCUGAACUAGGUUGAGCCCGGGGAAAGGAGAUACUACGGCAUUGAUUUCGUCAAAGAAACUGAAGAGCAGGUUCUCACCAUCCAAAAACACAUGGAAGCUGCACAGGCUAAACAGAAAAGCUACGCCGAUCGAAGAAGAAGACCACUCGAGUUUGAAGUAGGUGACUUUAUGUACCUAAAGGUAUCCCCCAUGAAGGGAGUGAACCGCUUCGGUGUGAAGAGGAAGCUUGCUCCUAGAUAUGUGGGUCCCUACUAAAUCAUCGAGAAGAGUGGCAAAGUGGCUUACAAGGUGUAGUUACCUUAUGAGAUGAGAGCUAUCUUCCCUGUAUUCCAUGUGUCUCAACUCAAGAAAUGCCUUCGUAUUCCCAAAGAAAGAGUGGAAACGGGAGGCCUUAAGUUACAAUCAGACCUAUCCAAUGAAGAAAAGCUCGUGCAAGUCCUUGAUGUCAAAGAAAGGGUUACCCAAAGGAGAGUGAUCAAACUUUAUAGGGUGCUAUGGAACCACCAUAGUGAGAGAGAUGCCACGUGGGAAAGGGAAGAUUAUUUAAAGUAACUUAUCCCUCCUUCUAUGAAAAAUGGUAUGCCUUUCAAAUCUCGGGACGAGAAUUUUGUAAGGGGGGGGCUUUAACACUCCUAGUGUUAGCUUGCAUGUUAAGCAUGAGCAUUGCAUCAACAUGAGCAUCAUCAUUGUUGACGGUCCUUAAGUAUCAAAUUUAAUUAUCAAAUAAAUAAAGAAAAGGAUCCAAAAUGAAAUCAAGAUCUAGACUUAGGGUUUUAUCUAACAGAAUUCCACGAGUUUUGGUGUUUGUCUAUUUAUGCAGGGGGUUAUCAGGAAAUAUGAAAGAAAGGCCCACAUGUCGGGAUUACGUAAAGAUAUUAACGUGAUGCGCAAUUAUCUUACAUCUAGAAGACUCCAGAAGCCACGAGACCGAAGCGGAGGCGAAACGGGGCCAGAGGCAGGGCGCCCGCCCUCCUGCCCUGGGCGCCCGCCCACCUCCUGUGUCCAAUCAGGACUCUGCUUUGCGGGAGAUCUCCACCGACCUAAAGGAUGAAUCUAAACCAUACAAUCUAUGUCGGUUUGAUCCAAGGGCCCAUAUUCACUUGGAGGGACUAUAAAACCAGACCCCCUGGCCCCUGGAGGAGAGAGCCUCUCAACCCUAAUUCAUUGUUCCAUCAAGGGAGAAGAAGCCUCUGAUCAAGAUUAGAGCCACUGUUGAUAUUUGGUAACGCAAUUAGAAAAUGAUCCGCAAGCGCACGGAUAUCGGUGAGCAUUUCACCCGGGAGGUUAUCCAGAGUUAUCGUAUUUAUAUUUUUACCACUGGGAGAAAGGGUGCAUCUGACUAACCAAAUCUAUUGCUACUAUCCCUUUAGGCUACAAAGAAUAUCUCUCGAUGUGAGUGAUGUAUAGAGAAGACUGCAACCGUAGUCUCGUUCUAACCUUGGUAAGGAUGAUCUAUUGUUCUAUUGGGGAGGCUCACGGAAUCUAGACAACACAAAGGAUGUUCGACCCGCACCUAUAACCCUACCCGUCCUGCUAACGAGAUGUGAUCUGCAAAGGUAACUCGGAAAUGUCACGUUCCUCGCUACUACCACGGUCCAGCUAGUCAGGGGAUAUCUAUGAGUACCCUAGCCUAAACACCACGUUUACGCUAACAAUUGAUUACUCUAAUACUCAACCGGAAGAGGAUUAAAGUAAACUCAUAAACCAAAGAACAAUAAAACAAGAACUUACUAGUAUUAGAAGUCGAAUUACUGAAGAAUCUUAGAAGCAAGCCUCGGGUUAGGAGACUUGAUCCCGUAGGUACAACUCGGAGUAGACACCGACAGGCCGGCCUUCCUCCGAUCCACACCUCCACUCUAUCUCUCUCAAUCUAGUAGAAACUAGAAGAUCUAUUUCUACUUUACAUUGGUUGCUAAGCCUAAAAAUAAAUAUUAUUUAGAGAAGAGGUUUUCCUUCGAGGGCACCCCUCAAUCUCUAUGAUAAUUUCUUGUCUCCUCCAGGGGCCAGGGGGCCUUGCUUAUAUAGUCCUCCCCUUCUAUGCGUUUUUGGGUCGAUAGGCGAGGUGGUACUAUGUUUUUCUUGAUCCAAUAGGUCGGUGGAAUAUCCCGAGCGAAAGAGUCCUGAUUUGGCUCCAACAGGGGGGCGGGCGCCCAGGCUACCAGGGCGGGCGCCCUGGGCCUGGCCCCUUUCGGGCUCCGCUUCCUUCCCAUGGCUUCUGGACUCUUCUAGAUGGUAGAAAAUUGCGCGGUGGGUUGAUAUCUCUAUGUAAUCCCGACAUGUGGGCCUUUCUUCCUUAUUUCCUGAUAACCCCCUGCAGAAAUAGACAAACACAAAAACUCGUGGAAUUCUGUCAGAUAAAACCCUAAGUCUAGAUGUUGAUUUUAUUUGGAUCCUUUUCUUUGUUUAUUUGAUAAUUAAAUUUGAUACUUAAGGACCGUCAACAAACUCCCCCAAGCUUACCUCUUGCUCGUCCCUGAGCAAGGAUGAACUCAAGAGUUUCUACAGUGGUUUCAUUUCUUAGAAGUACACACGCAUUUAAGCAAGAUCUCAUCUCUGAGUUAGAAUAAACUGUUAAGACUUAAAACUUACUUACUUUACCUACACCAUAGGACUUGUAACCGUCACUUCUGUCUUGAGUGAUUAAAAGAUAGAACAGUCUAGCCAAGUGCCAUGUCUCUUAUUCUUGAUCAGCUAUAGCUCUGGGGUUUUUGCAGAUUUUCAAAUAAAACUCAGAAAUUCCUUGUAUGAUUCUCUCAGGUCUCUCUUUUGUGGUAUUUUUGGAUCCUUACCAAGGCAGUGAUGGUAUAUGCCUUCUCUCAAGAUAUGUGGUAUUUGUGGUAUGAAGCAUAGUGACAUUGUCUUCUCUCUCACCCUACUCUAAUAAGGCUUUAAUAUCUGGAGCUCAUAGGUGGGAGAUAAAGUAUACAUACUUACAAGACAUUUAUUGCAUAGUCAAACCAUGGAUCCAAAGAAACAAAUCAAUAAGCCAAAUCAAGAUGUGCAUGUGAAUGGUGUAUGGUGAUGAUGGUGAUAAUGGUGGUGGAAGUCUAAUUCUACUUUGCUCUUUGAGGGGAUACAUACCUUCCUUGCUUUUGAAACUUUAUGAGGAGAAUGAGAUGCUCUAUAUUUUCUUUCUCUUUCCUCUCAGGUGGGUAUCUUGUACCCCUAAUUCUACUGUCGGACACUUGUCCAUUUUUACCUCUCGUCUCACUUUUUCUUUUCUUCGAGGUUCCGGGCACUUGCCCCUUUUUAUUUCCUCGUAUAUUAUUUUUUUUCUUCUUCUUCUUUUUUUUUCUCUUUUUUUUCUUUCUAGAGCACUCAUCUCCUAAAAUAAUGUAGCAAGUGGUAGUAACCAAAAUAACUGGAGCAUUUAUUUCACAGGGAAUAAUAGGGAUAGGAAAAUGUUUUUGGCUAUUCUCUCCCGGAUUAGGAGUAGAAUAAUUUUGGGUAAAACUGGAGAUAGAAAUGAGUGGAUAUAUGUGGAUGGUACUUCCGGAGUAGAAGUAGCAUGUAUGAGUGAACGUGCAAGUGAAUCUUGAUUUAACCACAUGACAAGCUCCUAAGGGUCUACACAGCUUGACAACACUCAAUGCUCAUAAGCAGUAAAUAGUAAAUGUGUGGCUCAAGGUCUAGCAAGCAUGUAUAUAUGGCUGUGGUAGGAAUUUAAACUCUCAUCAUACAGGAACUCAUCAUGUGAUAUUUUAAAGAUUUUCAAAGAUAAAAUUCUCCAGAAUUCUAGCAUCUCUAGGAACAGAUAAACAGCAGCUCAACCUUCCCAUAUCGUAUCCGUUAACAACUUAGGCUUCAGAUCAAGUUUUCAUCCCACAAGUUUAGGUCUAGAGCAAGCCUUAAAUUAUAACAGUUAUAUCUAAACUUGAGAGAGAACUUCAAAUUUGCAAAUUAGGCAGAGCAACUAUUCAUCAUAUCCAUGCUUAAGUUUUAUUAGAUACAGAUUAGCAUAGCCACUUUAUUUGUUUAUUAAACACACUAAGCAAAAUAUAUAUAAGCAUAAAAUCUUUAUUUGGUUUUUCAUAGUUAUGUGUAUUUAUAUUCUAAUAUAGUAUAAGUAUAAAGAUAGAUAGAAAUACUUAUCGAGAUAAAUGGGGGUGCUCUCCCCCAAGCUGAAUUUUGACGUAAUUUCUCUUGAUGUAGCUAGCAGGUGGCAGAGGUGUGUUUGAAAGUCAGCAAUAUUUUGACAGCGAUUAGAAUGUCCUCCGUCUGCUAGUCUUCUUGAUUCUUAAAUUCUGUGGAGCUCAAAUAGACAACAAAGCUUGUGGAACUGAUUAAGUGUUAGCAUAAAUAUCUAGCCUUUAUUAUCUUGAGACUCCUUAAUAAUUAUUACUCCCUGUUUUUAUAUUUUUGUUUUUAUAAAGUAGAAAAAUAUUUAUUUUAUUUUUAUGCCACCAUAGUGAAUGUACUUAUGGGUUUUAUGCCACUCGUCUACUCACAUGGGGCUUACAGUUUUUUUUCACAUUUUUAUUUUCUUUCUAGGAUAAUACGAACAUGAUUAACUAAGUAAACUAUUUGAAAUAAUUAAAAGGGAAAGGAUAACUACCAAGUUUACCUCUUGGCAAGGCGUUCGGUGUUUUUAAGUCCUCCGAGCGGGACUCUCCAUUUUCUUAAUCGUCCUGGGAUUCGCUGGAUGACGUAGUCGGUGAUUCCGGUGGCGCCUUCCUCUUCGUGUGUAACUACAUUCUCUCUUCACACCUGACUCGGUGCUAUGGUCUCCUCAGGACAGUUAUGUUCAAGCUGUAUGUCUUCAGACCUUACCACUUCUCCUUCGUAGUCUACCCAUCCGUCCUUGAUGAUUUGCCUCCUCUGGUUACGGUUGCGUUGUCUUCUUCUUGUCCUGAUCUGUUUAGAAUCUUCAACUAUAUAGUUAGAAUCAUUAAAGUAGUGGCGUACCUUCUCAGAGGGGAAGUGCAUGUGGACUUCUCCGGUUCCAAUAUAGAUAAUGGCUUUGAUAGUGUUGAGGAACGGUCUUCUAAGGAUGGUGGGUGGAUCAUACUUGUCUUCUCCCAUGUUAAUGACCUGAAAAUCAUCUGGAGCUGAAUGUAUAUUGGUUGUAGGGGCAUGGUUCCAUGCAGGAGCUGAUAAGUGACUGCGGUCAUUAUGUUGACGUCAGAUCCGGUGUCGUAGAGUGUCUUCUGAAAAGAGUAUCUGUUGAUUGUGCACUCAAUGCUUAGAACACCAGGGUCGUCCUUCUUGAUCAAGAAAGGUGACUUGAGUCGACGAUCUUGGCCUCCUUGAACUGUAGUGACCAUCUUAGCUGAUUCGGUCCACAUUUGCUUGUUCCUGUUCCUCCUGUUGGUCCUCUUCCUUGGUUCAUGUCGGGGUUGCUCUAAAGUUUGUGUAGUCUUGUUCUUGAAGGAAAGUCUCCUUCUUCCCCUUGAUGUAGAGACUGAUCUUGGCAGCAUUAGCGUAGAUGACAGCUCUAGUGUUUAGGAAUGGCCUCCCUAAGAUGAUGGGUGCCCUCUCCUCAGUACCAGUCUCUAUCACCAUGAAGUCUGCUAGAGCAUACAAGGUACCAACUCGGACGCAGAGGUUCUUCAAUAUUUCCUUUGGGAAACUGGGUGUCCGAUCUGCAACCCUGGGCAUAAUGUUGACACUGGAGCCAAAGUCGCAGAGUGCUUCUGGGAAGUCCACCAUGCCGAUGGAGAUCGGGAUGACGGGGCGUCCUAGAUCACCUCUCUGAGUAAUUAGGCCUCUGUUGAUUCCAACCUUGAUGUUGUUGAGGACGGUUAUAGUAAUAGUUGUUAUUGUUGUUGAUGUAGUUCACGUCCUCAAGGAUCUUAGGGCAGUGAUUGCCUGAGCGUCCAGUAUCUCCAGUGUAUUUGUGCUCGUAGAUCCUAGUUCUUCACUUAGUGGAAUCUGGAAGUUGUAAAACUCCUUCAUAUUAUGCUCGAAGUGUUCCUGCUCAUAGAGACAAGGUAGAGAUCAAGUGCAUGGGCCCUGUUGGUGGAAAACACCAACGGAACCAAAAGUGUAUUUGUUCUUCUCUAACCUUAAGCAUAGUGAGCAAGACAAAGUUGAUGGAUCAUGAGUGUAGCAUUUGUCAGAUCAGAUGGCUCAACCUAAUGGAAAGAUAAUCUAUCUAUAUUUAUGUUUUGUUUAUAUCUUCCAAAGAUUGAAUGUGCAAUACUUUAGCUUAUAUGAUUAGGAGUGUGGGAUCACGAAGGUAGUACUAAGAACAAAGAUUAAAGGACUAAACAUGUUGAAUUAAUUGGGUUGAUUAAUUUGGAGCUACAAAUCAUACAUGUUUGUCUCUUUAUUUUAUGUGAACGCUAGAACCAAGGAGAAGCUUAUAAAAGUGAUAGUCAAGUACCCUAAAAUGUUACCUUACUUGAAGAGUGAUGGUACAGUAUCACCUUGUGGAAGCUUUCCUUUCUUAGCGGUUGUGCAUCGUGUUUGUGGCACCCUCCAUGAAUCAUCUCUUAUGAGCUACGUCUUUCUUGUGCAAAUUGUUAAACUUCAUGUGUCACUUUCUUCAUCUCCAAUGAGUUUGCAUCUCAGGACUUCCCAGGUUGAUAUUGAAAGUUUUCCUACAGGGGUUAGUCCAACAAAAUAUACCAAUAUCUACUCAACCAGUUUUUAGUUCAGUAACCAAACUAGACUCCAUGUCUAAUCAGAUUAAGGAAGGCUAUUUAACCUAAGCACCACGCUUAAUUUAAAUGCCAUUGGAAGUGUGUCCAGUACUUCCAAACUAACACUUACUAGGAUAAACAAAGGUAGCAUGAUGGCUUUUAUAGAGAUCUACUCAAGUGGAGAUGAAGUAGUGUGAUUAGUAUUUAACAAAUUGAGCAUGUCUCAAAGGUAAGGACAACCAACAUAGCAACAUGGCAAAGGAUGUUUUAUGUAAAGUACUCCCCCAAGCUUGAAUUUUGCAAAAUUCAAGAUUGGAUGAAUUUAAUUUAAUGUUGCAUGAUGAUUCGUUGGGCAUACCUUGCGCUCGUCAUUCAUCCGAUCUUCUUGCUCCAAUCCUAGAAAGGUUAGUGGCAAGAAUACCCGAAGGAAUAUUUCUACAAUUAUCUUUAUAUGCUCAAUACACAAGGCAAUGUUGCAAAUAAUUAGAAGUGCUUGUUUUAGGACACUAAGCUUGUCCUUGGGGAACCAUCAAUUAACUCAACGAGAUCUGCAAUAUUUAUUAUAGACAUACGCAUCGACAACCGCCCUUUUAAAGUUUUUAUAAAUAGAAAAGAAGAGGGGGUUGGAGAUCUCAAAUGUGGUAAGGAUGGAGAGACAAAUUGAUUGGAGAGAUGUUUUAUAUGAGCAAGGACUGGGUGAGGUAUUUAUGAAAUCACUUCCAUGCUCACUGUUGUUUCUCUCAUUCUCAAACUCCAAGGAUGAUUCUUCAUGAAUGUUUAAAAUUUCUCUAGGAUUGUCUCUCAAGUUUGUUUUAUCUAUCCAUUCAAUGGUGAUAGCACAUGUAUUUUUAAUGCCCUCUAGCCAUUGAUGUUGCUCUUCUCGAUCCUCCUUCUUAUGCAUGGGAUGUCUAGAUAGAUUCAUAGGAUUAUCGGGAGGUUCAAGAGAAAGAGCAUAGUAGAAAUUGUUAAGAUCAAGGAUGGGUUGGAUAGCCGAAUCAUGGGAUUGAAAUGUUUGGAAAUUGGCUAUUAAAACUUCCUUUCCUCGUCUAGGAGAUGAUUCCUUCUCUAUCUCUAAGAUUUUUCUAUGAAGACUAGUACAAGAAGGAUGUCCACAAAUGAAGACAUACCUUCCUUUACUAAUAGAUAAAGAAAGAAGGACUCUACCAAAGGUUAUAUGAUCAAGACCAAUGUGAAAAUAUCUAGGAAAAACAUGGUCCUGUAGGGCUAGGUCUAAACCAGAAUUUAUAGAAAGAUUAACAGAUUCCCUAGGUGUAGCUAAAAGUGCAUUAUCUUUUUGAUUAAAAGAUAGGACCUUAGCUAUAGAAAAGGGUUGGUUUUGACCUAUUGCAAUCAACUCCGGACACAGAUCAUAAUUACGGGCAGGACGUGUUGACUCCCAUGGUCUAUGGCUGGUCUCCGAAGGUGCAAAGAAUUCAAUAAUAAGUAUGGAAUUUGAGUUAUCCAUAAAGAUGGAAAAAAUAAAAAGAUAAAAGAAUAAAAGUAUAAUACAAGAUAAUAGCAAGACUCAAAGUUAUCUCAGCAAACCGUCUUUCUCCCCGGCAACGGCACCAGAAAUGCUUGUUGAUAUUUGGUAACGCAAUUAGAAAAUGAUCCGCAAGCGCACGGAUAUCGGUGAGCAUUUCACCCGGGAGGUUAUCCAGAGUUAUCGUAUUUAUAUUUUUACCACUGGGAGAAAGGGUGCAUCUGACUAACCAAAUCUAUUGCUACUAUCCCUUUAGGCUACAAAGAAUGUCUCUCGAUGUGAGUGAUGUAUAGAGAAGACUGCAACCGUAGUCUCGUUCUAACCUUGGUAAGGAUGAUCUACUGUUCUAUUGGGGAGGCUCACGGAAUCUAGACAACACAAAGGAUGUUCGACCUGCACCUAUAAACCUACCCGUCCUGCUAACGAGAUGUGAUCUGCAAAGGUAACUCGGAAAUGUCACGUUCCUCGCUACUACCACGGUCCAGCUAGUCAGGGGAUAUCUAUGAGUACCCUAGCCUAAACACCACGUUUACGCUAACAAGUGAUUACUCUAAUACUCAACCGGAAGAGGAUUAAAGUAAACUCAUAAACCAAAGAACAAUAAAACAAGAACUUACUAGUAUUAGAAGUCGAAUUACUGAAGAAUCUUAGAAGCAAGCCUCGGGUUAGGAGACUUGAUCCCGUUGGUACAACUCGGAGUAGACACCGACAGGCCGGCCUUCCUCCGAUCCACACCUCCACUCUAUCUCUCUCAAUCUAGUAGAAACUAGAAGAUCUAUUUCUACUUUACAUUGGUUGCUAAGCCUAAAAAGAAAUAUUAUUUAGAGAAGAGGUUUUCCUUCGAGGGCACCCCUCAAUCUCUAUGAUAAUUUCUUGUCUCCUCCAGGGGCCAGGGGGCCUUGCUUAUAUAGUCCUCCCCUUCUAUGCGUUUUUGGGUCGAUAGGCGAGGUGGUACUAUAUUUUUCUUGAUCCAAUAGGUCGGUGGAAUAUCCCGAGCGAAAGAGUCCUGAUUUGGCUCCAACAGGGGGGCGGGCGCCCUGGGCCUGGCCCCUUUCGGGCUCCGCUUCCUUCCCGUGGCUUCUGGACUCUUCUAGAUGGUAGAAAAUUGCGCGGUGGGUUGAUAUCUCUAUGUAAUCCCGACAUGUGGGCCUUUCUUCCUUAUUUCCUGAUAACCCCCUGCAGAAAUAGACAAACACCAAAACUCCUGGAAUUCUGUCAGAUAAAACCCUAAGUCUAGAUGUUGAUUUUAUUUGGAUCCUUUUCUUUGUUUAUUUGAUAAUUAAAUUUGAUACUUAAGGACCGUCAACAGCCACCACAUCAAUUAGACAUCUAGAUUAGCAUAGCUACAUAGGAUUAGAACUAGAAGGAGUCAAUCUUCGAUUGGUUUCCGGAUCUGUCAGGACGAUUCUUGGUAAUUCUCUAAUUGUGCUUCUAAUUGCUUUCUAAUUAUCUUUGUUCUUCAAUAUUAUGAAUAUGACUUUGUUCUACUUUAAUAUAUUGCUUAUGACUUUGCUCUACUUGCUUAUAUUCAAGAUUAUAUUGUUCUUAGUUUAUCAUAGUUAUGUACUUGGCUUAGUUAGAUUCGAUCUAUAUACAUGCUUAGGAUCGUAUAGCGUUUAUCCAUCGGAUCCAUGGGUAAAUGAUAGAUAUUGUGUAGGCGUGGUGCUUAUACCGUAUUUAUCUGCGAUUGUACCCAAUAUGCCAGAUCGUGGGGUGGUUCGUGAUAGUGACAACUUCAUUGAUUCUUAUAUAGUCCCCCUCUCGUGUAUUGGGCUGGCAGAGCAACAUUAUUACAGGGGAGAGAUUGCUAUGUUUCUCAUAUUCCUUGCUAAUAUCACUAUGCAUGGGCGUAGUCUUGUCUCACAAUGAUUGCUAAGUAUGCUUGCACUAACUAUGAUAAUGCUAGACUAUAUAGUUAAGAAUAACUUAGGGAAUAUUCUUAUAGUUCAUUCUAAUACCAUGCUAAUGACUCUCUAGAGUAUCUAAUUGAGGUGCUUAUCAUAUUUAUUAUGUGGCUAGAUCAGAUUAGUUAUCCUUGUCACUAUUAUUAUUUCAUAUAUCUUUUAUGUGACACUUAUCCCUGUAUGAUGAGUUAGAUAUAAUGUUCUCAAUUAUACAUGCAAUGAUAGAUGCUCAAUCUCAUAUUCUAUUCUGUAAUCAAUAGUGAUGAUUGCUACUCCCUUCCCAGUGGUAAAAAUAUAAAUAACGAUACCUGGAAUACUUCCCGGUUAAAAUGCUGCAUCGGUAUUAAUCUGUGCGCUUGCAGAUCCCAUUCAUUAUUUAUUUAGAAGAGCAAUUGCAUAUUUCAAUACCGCGUCUCUUAUAUCAUGCUGGGGAUGACAACUUGACUUAAGUGGUGUGAGGGAUAGGUUUGGCAUUUUUGGCACCGUUACUAGAUUUAGAGAACUUAGUCUACUUUUGGUAAUGAUGUUAAGAAUACCCAACAAGCAUUUUUGGCGCCGUUGCCGGGGAAGGUUGAUUACCAGUCAGGAAUGGAAUAAAAGAUUUUGAGUUAUCAUUCGCAUCACUAAUUUGAUUGAGCUUAUCUAUUCUCUCAUACAGUUUUACCCCGAUAUUUUUCUAUUUUAUCUUAUGUAGGGGAAUGUAUGAAUAGAAGACAUCUUCCAGGAAAUUUUGUUGACAAUCCCGAAGCAUUAUUCAAGAAGACGAGAGCCAAGCUAAAGAAAUCAUCAACACUUCAUGAAGAAGCUUCAUCCAAUCAAGAAGAUCACCGGAACUUAUCUUCAGAGUUCGAAGCCAUGGCGAACAAAUCAAUCCGCGAGUUCUCAGCUCCCACUAUGGACAACAUCUGCACUGGACCUGCUGCAGAGAUCGACGGCAACUUUGAGCUCAAGCCUGGACUUAUCAACAUGGUGCAAUCCAACCAGUUCUGUGGGAAGGCACACGAAGAUGCUAGUGCUCAUUUACAACACUUCCUGGAGAUUUGCAACACAUUCACCAUAUCAGGAGUUUCCAAAGACGCUAUACUACUUCGCCUCUUCCCAUUCUCACUGUUAGGAAGAGCGAAGCAGUGGUUCUACGCUACAAAGGAGAAGAAUACUACGUGGGCACUCUGCUCAACAAACUUCCUGGCAAAGUUCUUUCCCAUGGGCAAGACCAAUGCUCUCCGUGGGAAGAUUACAAGUUUUCAGCAACAGAAUGAUGAAUCUGUUCCAGAAGCAUGGGAGCGCUUUCAAGACUACAUCCUAGAAUAUCCCCAUCAUGGAAUGGAGAGUUGGCUAUUGAUGCAGACGUUCUAUCAUGGGCUCAGCAACAGUGCCCGAGAGACCAUGGAUGCUGCAGCUGGAGGAGCAUUCUUAUCACUUACUAUACCACAAGCCACAACUCUUGUGGAGAAGAUGGCGUCCAAUCAAAGCUGGAAUGAAGAGAGGACCCAGACACGCAAGAGAGGUGGAGGUAUGCAUCAGCUGAAGGAGGUAGACAUGCUGUCUGCAAAGCUAGACCUGCUCAUGAAGAAGCUCGAUGAUAGAGCUGGAGACAAGAAAGAAGUUAUGCACAUCUACGACUCUCACAUGACUUGUGAGGAGUGUGGAGACACUGGACACUCAGGCAACCACUGCCCUGAGAUGCUUGAGGAUGUAAACUACAUCAACAACAACAACAACUACUACUACUACAACCGUCCUCAACAAACUCAAGGUUGGAAUCAACAGAGGCCUAACUACUCAGGUAAUUAUCAAGGUAACAAUUCUUACAACAAUAAUAAUAAUUUUCCACCUUUGAGAGAGUUAGUGUCUAAUCAAGGAAAGCUAAUGGAUAAUCUAUCUAAGAAAUUGGCAUCUAAUGAUAAAAUGCUAGAAAAUACAAAUAAUAGAAUGGAUAAUUUUUCUACUGCCAUCAAGAAUCAAAUUAGCUUUAAUAAAAUGAUUGAAUCCCAGUUGAAUCAAAUAGCUGCUGCUGUUCCUACUACUAACCCCGGUAUACCAUCACAACCGGAAGGAUUAGAAUCUACAAAUCUUGUAGACAUGUUUGCUGCAGGUAAUUGGAGUAACCCCGUCAAUGAAUUCUCUACUGACCUUCUGCCGGUCAAGAGAGGCGAUCCAGGACGCCCCGUCAUCCCGAUCUCCAUCGGCAUGGUGGACGUUCCAGAAGCACUCUGCGACUUUGGCUCCAGUGUCAACAUUAUAGCCAGGGUACUCUAUGAAAAAUUCUUUACAUAUCCUUUAUUAGAGACAACCAUGUGUUUGCAGUUUGCAGAUCAGACGAUAACUUUUCCAAAAGGAAUAGUGAAGAACCUUUGUGUCCGAGUUGGUACCUUAUAUGCCCCAGCAGACUUUGUAGUGGUAGAGACCGGAAAUGAUGAGAGAGCACCUAUCAUCCUAGGGAGGCCAUUUUUGAACACCACGGGAGCUAUCAUCUACGCCAGUGCUGCCAAGAUCAGUUUCUACGUCAAAGGAAAGAAGGAGACAUUUUUCUUCAAGAACAAGACUACACAAAUUCAAGAUCAAUCCAGACGUAAAUUAAGGAAGAGGACCAACAGGAGAAACAGGAACAAGCAAGUGUGGACCGAGUCAGCUAAGAUGGUCACUGUAGUCCAUGGAGGCCAAGAUCACCAACUUAAGUCACCGCUUUUGACUAAGAAGGAGGACCCAGGAAUGCCAAGCAUCUACUGCUCCAUAAAUGGAUACAACUUCUACAAGGCAACUUGUGACACCGGAUCGGGCGUCAACAUAAUGGCCGCAGUCACCUAUCGGCUCUUGUUCGGAACCAUGCCACUAAGACCAACAUACAUUCAGCUCCAGAUGGCAGAUCAGACAUUUCGAGAAGUUCAAGGAAUAGUAACUGAUGUCCCAGUCAAAAUAGACGAUCACUUUGUCUACACAGACUUUCAACUUGUUGACAUGGGAGAAGACGAGUAUGAUCCACCCAUCAUCCUUGGAAGACCGUUCCUCAGCACCGUUAAAGCAAUUAUCUACAUUGGAACCGGAGAAGUCCAUAUGCACUUCCCCUCAGAGACGGUACGCCGUUAUUUUACUGACCCUAACUAUAUUGUUGAAGAAUCUAAGCAGGUCAGAAAGAGACGCAACCGCAACCAGAGGAGGCAGAUCAUCAAGGACGGAUGGGCAGACUAUGAAGGAGAAGUUGUAAGAUCAGAAGACGUUGAGUUUAAACAGAAUUAUCCAGAGAAGAUUGAAGCACCAAGUCAGGUGUGGAAAAUGAAGAUAACUAUACAAGAAGAGGAGGCGCUGCCGGAAGUACCGACUACGCCACCCAACGAACCUCAGGACGAUUAAGAAAAUGGAGAGUCCCGUUCGGAGGACUUAAAAACACCGAACGCCUUGCCAAGAGGUAAACUUGGUAGUUAUCCUUUCCCUUUCAAUUAUUUCAAAUAGUUUACUUAGUUAAUCAUGUUCGUAUUAUCCUAAAAAAAAGAAAAUAAAAAUGUGAAAAACAGUAAGCCCCAUGUGAGUAGACGAGUGGCAUAAAACCCAUAAGUACAUUCACUGUGGUGGCAUAAAAAUAAAAUAAUUAUUUUUCUGCUUUAUAAAAUGAAAAUAUAAAAAACAGGGAGUAAUAAUUAUUAAGGAGUCUCAAGAUGAUAAAGGCUAGAUAUUUAUGCUAACACUUAAUCAGUUCCACAAGCUAUGUUGUCUAUUUGAGCUCCACUGAAUUUAAGAAUCAAGAAGACUAGCAGACGGAGGACAUUCUAAUCGCUGUCAGAAUGCUGCUGACUUUCAAAAUACACCUCUGCCACCUGCUAGCUACAUCAAGCGAAAUUACGUCAAAAUUCAGCUUGGGGGAGAGCACCCCCAUUUAUCUCGAUAAGUAUUUCUAUCUAUCUUUAUACUUAUAUUAUUUUAGAAUAUAAAUACACAUAAACUAUGGAAAACCAAAUAAAGAUUUUAUGCUUAUAUAUAUAUAUAUAUGUCUUUUGCUUAGUGUGUUUAAUAAAUAAAUAAAGUAGCUAUGCUAAUCUAUAUCUAAAUAAAACUUAAGCAUGGAUAUGAUAAAUAGUUGCUCUGCCUAAUUUGCACAUUUUAAGUUCUCUCUCAAGUUUAGACAUAACUGUUAUAAUUUAAGGCUUGCUCUAGACCUAAACUUGUGGGAUGAAAAUUUGAUCUGAAGUCUAAGUUGUUAACGGAUAUGAUAUGGGAAGGUUGAGCUGUUGUUUAUCUGUUCCUAGAGAUGCUAGAAUUCUGGAGAAUUUUAUCUUUGAAAAUCUUUAAAAUAUUGUAUGAUGAGUUCCUGUAUGAUGAGAGUUUAAAUUCCUACCACAACCACAUAUACAUGCUUGCUAGACUUUGAGCCACACAUUUACUAUUUACUGCUUAUGAGCAUUGAGUGUAGUCAAGCUGUGUAGACCCUUAGGAGCUUGUCAUGUGGUUAAAUCAAGAUUUCACUUGCACGUCCACUCAUAUAUGCUACUUCUACUUCGGAAGUACCAUCCACAUAUAUCCACCCAUUCCAUCUCCAGAAUCACCCAAAAAUAUUCUACUCCUAAUCCGGGAGAGAGUAACCAAAAAUAUUUUUGUUUUCCCCUUGUGAAAUAAAUGCUCAAGUUAUCUUGUUACUACCACUUGCUAUAUUAUCUCAAGAGAUGAAUGCUCUAAAAAAAGAGAGAAAAAGAAAAAGAUACGAGGAAAUAAAAAGGAGCAAGUGCUCGGAACCUCGAAAAAAAAUAUAGAGCAUCUCAUUCUCCUCAUAAAAUUUCAAAAGCAAGAAAGGUAUGUAUCCCCUCAAAGAGCAAAGUAGAAUUAGACUUCCACCACCAUUGUUUCACCAUUGUCAUCACCAUACAUCAUUCAUUCGCCACACAUGCACAUCUUGAUUAAACUUAUUGACUUGUUACUUUGGAUCCAUGGUUUGACUAUGCAAUAAAUGUCUUAUAAGUAUGUAUACUUUAUCUCCCACCUAUGAGCUCCAGAUAUUAAAGCCUUAUUAGAGUAGGGUGAGAGAGAAGGCAAUGUCACUAUGCCUUAUACCACAAAUACUACAUAUCUUGAGAGAAGGCAUAUACCAUCAAUGCCUUGGUAAGGAUCCAAAAAUGCCACAAAAGAGAGACCUGAGAGAAUCAUAUAAGGAAUUUCUGAGUUUUAUUUGAAAAUCUGCAAAAACCUAGAGCUAUAGUUGAUCAAGAAUAAGAGACAUGACACUUGGCUAGACUGUUCUAUCUUUUAACCACUCAAGACAGAAGUGACAGUUACAAGUCCCAUGGUAAAGGUAAAGUAAGUAAGUUUUAAGUCUUGACAGUUUACUCUAACUCAAAGAUGAGAUCUUAUUUAAAAGCAUGUGUACCGUCAAUUUUUAAAUAUAUUGCAACAACUUAUGAUCCAUAGCUGAGUCUAUCCUUGCUCAGGGACGAGCAAGAAGUAAGCUUGGGGGAGUUUGUCGACGGUCCUUAAGUAUCAAAUUUAAUUAUCAAAUAAAUAAAGAAAAGGAUCCAAAUGAAAUCAAGAUCUAGACUUAGGGUUUCAUCUGAUAGAAUUCCACGAGUUUUGGUGUUUGUCUAUUUCUGCAGGGGGUUAUCAGGAAAUAUGAAAGAAAGGCCCACAUGUCGGGAUUACGUAAAGAUAUUAACGUGCUGCGCAAUUAUCUUACAUCUAGAAGACUCCAGAAGCCACGAGACCGAAGCGGAGGCGAAACAGGGCCAGAGGCAGGGCGCCCGCCCUCCUGCCCUGGGCGCCCGCCCACCUCCUGUGUCCAAUCAGGACUCUACUUUGCGGGAGAUCUCCACCGACCUAAAGGAUGAAUCUAAACCAUACAAUCUAUGUCGGUUUGAUCCAAGGGCCCAUAUUCACUUGGAGGGACUAUAAAACCAGACCCCCUGGCCCCUGGAGGAGAGAGCCUCUCAACCCUAAUUCAUUGUUCCAUCAAGGGAGAAGAAGCCUCUGAUCAAGAUUAGAGCCACCACAUCAAUUAGACAUCUAGAUUAGCAUAGCUACAUAGGAUUAGAACUAGAAGGAGUCAAUCUUCGAUUGGUUUCCGGAUCUGUCAGGAGGAUUCUUGGUAAUUCUCUAAUUGUGCUUCUAAUUGCUUUCUAAUUAUCUUUGUUCUUCAAUAUUAUGAAUAUGACUUUGUUAUACUUUAAUAUAUUGCUUAUGACUUUGCUCUACUUGCUUAUAUUCAAGAUUAUAUUGUUCUUAGUUUAUCAUAGUUAUGUACUUGGCUUAGUUAGAUUCGAUCUAUAUACAUGCUUAGGAUCGUAUAGCGUUUAUCCAUCGGAUCCAUGGGUAAAUGAUAGAUAUUGUGUAGGCGUGGUGCUUAUACCAUAUUUAUCUGCGAUUGUACCCAAUAUGCCAGAUCGUGGGGUGGUUCGUGAUAGUGACAACUUCAUUGAUUCUUAUAUAGUCCCCCUCUCGUGUAUUGGGCUGGCAGAGCAACAUUAUUACAGGGGAGUGAUUGCUAUGUUUCUCAUAUUCCUUGCUAAUAUCACUAUGCAUGGGCGUAGUCUUGUCUCACAAUGAUUGCUAAGUAUGCUUGCACUAACUAUGAUAAUGCUAGACUAUAUAGUUAAGAAUAACUUAGGGAAUAUUCUUGUAGUUCGUUCUAAUACCAUGCUAAUGACUCUCUAGAGUAUCUAAUUGAGGUGCUUAUCAUAUUUAUUAUGUGGCUAGAUCAGAUUAGUUAUCCUUGUCACUAUUAUUAUUUCAUAUAUCUUUUAUGUGACACUUAUCCCUGUAUGAUGAGUUAGAUAUAAUGUUCUCAAUUAUACAUGCAAUGAUAGAUGCUCAAUCUCAUAUUCUAUUCUGUAAUCAAUAGUGAUGAUUGCUACUCCCUUCCCAGUGGUAAAAAUAUAAAUAACGAUACCUGGAAUACUUCCCGGUUAAAAUGCUGCAUCGGUAUUAAUCUGUGCGCUUGCAGAUCCCAUUCAUUAUUUAUUUAGAAGAGCAAUUGCAUAUUUCCAUACCACGUCUCUUAUAUCAUGAUGGGGAUGACAACUUGGCUUAAGUGGUGUGAGGGAUAGGUUUGGCAUUUUUGGCACCCUUACUAGAUUUAGAGAACUUAGUCUACUUUUGGUAAUGAUGUUAAGAAUACCCAACAAUCAUACUCACCCAUAAGCAUCAUACCAUGAUCACAUGUCAUUUUGUGUGUACCCUAUUUGAGUUGAUUGCUUAUAUUGCUUGUUAUGUGUAUAAGUAAUGUAUGACCAAUGUAUACAAGUGCACAUUGUCUUCCAAAAAUACUUUAUUCAUGCUUAGAAUAUCAUUUGGAACAAUGUUCAUGUUGGAGGUUUCUACCAAAAAUGCCCCUAAGUCAUGGUUAACCCUAGGUUGACCUAGUUUGACCCACAAAUCUCUUUUCAAAGGUCCUUUAUGAAAACAGUGUUAGAGACCUUGCAUGUAAAUGGCAUCUAAAGCAAAGUUGUAGUAAAUGUUAUAAGCUACAAAAGUUGUUUUGAUACAUUUUCAUGAAAAUGCUUGGAACAUACGCAAACUUUUCUCACAAGGCAAAAAUAGGGUCUGCUUUUCCACUUAGCCAAAUUUGCCUAAGUUAGAAUCGACAUAGUUUCAAGGUAGGUCUCUUGGGAGCCUUGUAGUUUGAAUUCUAGACCAAACCAGACCUUGAUGCUUAAAGCAAACAUGUAGAACUCGUGUAGCUCUAUCCAUUGGGACAAAUAUGAGCAAAAACCACCAAGUGAAUCGUGAGUAAAACGUCGAUGAAGAUCGGGUUUCAGUCGGCCAUUGGAGCCCUGAUCAACGUGAUUCGGUUUGGACAGAGCGUCGCCCGCCGCCACGUGUUGAGCUAGCUGUCGGCCGUACGUCGCUGACGGUCCCUCCUGUCAGCCCCAACGACGUCCUCAAGUUGCCAUGCACCCCCUAAAUGCCUCAGACGCACCCUUCGUCCACCCAGCGCACCCUAUUUCCCUCCGCCAUCGUCCUCGGCGAGCUCCGACGCGUUUCGGGGAGCUUCCCCGCCCACACCACCGCGUCCCAACUCGAGCUGCUCGGUUCAGAGCUCCACCAUGACGUCAUCUACCUCGUCGUCCACUCCAUUGCCACAACUGAGCUCAGGUGAGGCGGCAUUGCCGAGCCCCGCACGGUUUCCACCUCGUCGGAGUUCGCAGAGAUCACCAGCAACGUGGCUAGACCUCUCUGGUCCACCUCUAGCCGUGAUUCUUAUUCCUACAACUUUCUCUUGCUUCACUCUUGCUCGUCGUGAACCGCUACUGGGUCGCCAUGGCCCAUGUUCGCCGGCGUAUCACCACGCAGCACCGCCGCUCCGCCAUUCCCGAUGGCGAGCACCCUAUGAGCCAGUAGAGCGCGAGCCAAGUAGGUCAAUAGGUCCGCCUCGAAGUGAGGAACACGACAGUGCCCUCGGUUUCCCCAGAGACCUCGCCGUCGUUGAGAUCUUCGGCGACCGAGCUCGCCUCUGUCCUUUGUGUUACUGACGUGUGGGACCCUUCUGUCAGCCUCUCUCCCUCUCUCCCCCUAUUUCUGUUUUUGGCAGAUUUCAAUGCUAUGCUGUAAAAAUCAUAUCUCGAGUUUGGCAAGUCCAAUUUGUAUGUUUCAAAUUUUUUCAUACUCCUGAGUAGAUCUAGUUUUUAAUAAAAAUAUGAGACAUGCCAUGUUUUUGCAGAAAUAAAUAGUUAUGAUUUAUCUCUUUUAAUCCCUAAUAAAAAGAGGGCAAUUAUAUCUGUAGACCUGUAAUCCUAUGACCAUGCAAAUUUAGGAGGUUGUUACUUAUGUCAUGAAUAGGCUUUGAUAAAUUUCUCAUGAUUUUUGGAUGCCUUAUGAUGAAGUUAUAAAUACCCCUUAUUUAAAUAGGAGGUUAUUGUGGUAUUUUGAAUAAAUAGGUUAGAACUCCUUUUGUGAUGAAACUUGCUGGGUGAUGCAAACUCAUGAAGCUAAAGCCAAGAAAAAUCUGAAAUCUGUUAUUUGACACUUUUUGACAGAGUUUCACAUAUAUGCCUUUAAUGCCUUUGGUAGCUUGUCAUUUUUGUGCCCUACAAUCUACAUGCUCAAUGGCCUUGAAAAGUUUACAGUAACCAUGUUGUAGCAUGAGUAGCUUACUGUAAUUUUGCUAGAAUGUUUGGAGCACUGGUACUAUAUGCUCAUUAAUUCACCUUAAUAACCAAAUAAAUAGAAAAGGGGAUAUUCAAAAUAAGUUUUUACCUUGCCAUGAUGUUUUAUAAAGUUUCUUAGACAUGUUCUAACUACUGGUACUUUUGGUUGGACCAAUGUUACUUUCUUACUAUGUGCUAAAAUAUUAUUUUGCUAUUUAUGCCUUGUCUAGAGCAUAUUCUGUGUAGCUGAUAGAAGUUCCUUAAAAACUGCUUGGAGAUGUAGUUUGCUGGGAAACUUAUCUAUAACAAACUUGUAGCUAACUUACUUAUCUACCUUGUAUCCAAUGUUCAUAGCAUCUGGCUGAGUGAUUUAAAAGUUAUGGCUGUUGCAAGUAGCUGCUACGAAGUGAUUGUUCUCUGGAUUUUCCAGAGCAGACCUGAAACUUUGUCUGUUUUGACCUGUUUCUGUUGGGAAUCAUGCUGUGAUAUCUAAAAGUAAAUUGUAGACAAUUUGUUAAGAUUUCCAGAAAGUGCUCACUUACUUAAUUUGACCAAUAGAUGACUAAGUUAUGGCUGAAACUUAUGACCACCCAAUCUGUCCCUCAACCCAGUUGCUGUGUAUAAGUAGUUAAGGUUGAAUAGCUUGUAUUGUUAGCCUCUCUACCGGAUAAGAAGUAUGCACUUACCUAUUAAUCUGUUGCUUACUCAAUUUUAGAAGCUUGUGAUCAUGUUUGCACCGUGUUACCUGUUUCUUUGCUCUUCAUCAUGACAUAUUGCAUCCUAUGUGCAUUCCCUAUGUUUAUCACCUUGUCAUGCAUACUUAGGUGCAACCAAAAGCGUGACGGUCUUGGAGUUCGCCCCACCCGAGCCGGAGGAGCAGCAGUCGGAGCAACCUCAAGAGGAAGGAGCUAAGGAGGAGGAUUUGCCGGAGUGCCCUGACCACCGUCCUUCUACGUACAUUGAAGGCAAGCCGCGGAGUAUUAUAAGCAUCCUAUACUAUUUUUGUUAUCAUGCUCAAGAGUCAAUUAACUAUAGUUAUGUAUUGAUGCAUUAAGUGUUAGGUGUUGAUAUGACACCCUUUGAUGAGGACAUCACCACGCUGGAUACGUUGACACCAUCGUCUUUUCCAAGUUGCAAUUCAUCUCCAAUUCAGCUACCACGUCACUCUCGGAUUCAGCGAACACGUCGUCAGUGUUUUGGUCAUAACUUCUUCAUACUACAUCAAAAUAGGGUGAUCUUGGACUCGUUGGAAAGGGGACGACGAUGCCGUCAUUUUGGAUCUGGUCCCAGCUCCAGAUCUUUCAUGGAUUAAUCUUUAUGUCCACGACAAGGUGUUGCGUCACCUAUUUUGGGCCAACUUGGUCAUGUAUCAAAUUUGGGUCUUAAGCCCAUGUUGUGGGUGCCUCCCCCUGGUUGCCUCCAACCCUAGGUCACUUGUCCUUUAUAUUCCAUGCAGCCGCCGCUGUUUAGACUUGGGUUUUGUUUAGAGUUUAGUUUUCCAUCAAGAAACUGAAUGGUUCAUUGUAACUGUGGUGACAAAUCCUUUUACAGUGAUCCAGAGCUCCCGUUCUUGAUCUCCUCCACUGUGUCGAUCAGUCCUUUGGAACCGAGUUCUUGAACCCUCAUUUGAAUAUUCGCGUCAUUCAUAUCUACAAUUUCAGAUUGCAUGUUUAUACUUUCUUGCUUGUGUUCUUUGAUUCACUUGCAGGAACAGCCUUCGUGGCGAGGUCAAUCAAGUUGUGCUUGGUUGAUAACCAACGGAGCAGUGGUGUGAUGGUUGCAGGGUUCGAAUCGUGCUGAUUUGAAGACGGAUCACCAACGUCGAGUUCUCCACAAUCGAAUUUACCAAUUACAUCUCAGAAGAUCGGGCCUGACCCUCAUCAACAGGUAUCAGAUAUCUAUCUCAGGUUUACUGUGAGGUAUAAUCUCAUUUUCCCUAGAUUCAUAUUUGUUCAUUACCUACAAUCCAUAAAUAGCCCAAAAAAAUAGUUUAAUUUUCCACUGUCCUAUCACCCAUUGUGCCUUGCAAUUUCGUUUUCAGAUUUGCUUUGUUGAGUUUGUGUCCGUGGUUGAGUCUAGUUGCUGGUUUUGAUUGUGUUUGUCGUCGUAUUUCAUUUGCACCGAUGUUGUUCUUAGUAUUCGCUGCUAUCGUAUCCACUGUUUCCAAACAACAAGUCGAAGCCACCACAUUACUCGACUUGCCUCCGCUAGCCGCCUUGUGUGAUCCCUCGCCGCUGCUCUAACCCUAUAUAGGUUGCCAGCCGUUGUUAUUUUGCCUGCUUCACAGCCCUCCUUACAUCAUCAGGCGAAUACCUACUGCUAUUAGUGAAAGGAUCAAGAUGUCCAAGAGGGGGGGUGAAUUGGGCUUCUCUAAAAAUUUAAGCAACCUAUAAGCUCCAAUUCAACCCCUUGUGCCUAGUGUGAUCUAGAGAGCUACCGGAUAAAGAGUUUUGCAACCUAGUUUCAAUCCUAUUCUAGCAUGGCAAUUCUAAGAAUGUAAAAGCUCAAAAUAAUUGCACAAAGUAAAUGAUAGAAAGUAACGGAGGAGAGCAAGAAAGGCGCGGCGAUGUUUGCCGAGGUAUCGGAGAGUCGCCACUCCCCACUAGUCCUCGUUGGAGCACCCGCGCAAGGGUCUUGCUCCCCCUUGGUCCGCGCAAGGACCAAGUGCUCUCUAUGGGCUGAUUCUUCGACACUCCGUCGUGGUGAAUCGCCCACAGCCGCUCAUAAGUUUGACACGAGCCACCCACAAGAACUCCAGGCAAUCUUCGUGCCUCUAAUCACCACCGAACCGUCUAGGUGAUGGCGAUCACCAAGAGUAACAAGCAAUGAACUCUCACUUGACCCAAUCAAGGCACUAGAGAGUGGUGGAUGCACACUUGACUCUUGAAACUCAACUAGAGAAGGAUUCAAUCAAGAAAUCUCUCAAUUCUCAAUCCUCUCUAGGCUCUUGCUUCUCUCUUGCACCACAAGGUGAUUCUCAACUGAUCAAAUGGGCAAGAGACCUCCCAUGGACGAGGUGGAGGAGUAUAAAUACUCCCCAUCAAGACCAAGGGCUGGCCAACUAUUUUACACUAAAAACGGGAGCACCGGACACUGGUGAUGUUGCACUGGACGCACUAUACCGAGCGUCCGGUGACCCAUUAACAUCUAACUGUACUCUCUCUGACAGAGCACCGGACGCACCCUCAUUGGGUCCGGUGGCACCGUCCGGUGUGAGGGUGAAUUUACACCCUCCUGGGUAUGGGACCGGACGCUCCCCGACGAGUCCGGUGCUAGCGUCUGGUGCCCUGGUCUACUGUAGACCUCCCUGGGUAUGGGACCGGACGCUCUCAGGUGAGUCCGGUGCGAGCGUCCGGUGCAUAACCCUAGGCACCCAGUUGUUGACGGUCCUUAAGUAUCAAAUUUAAUUAUCAAAUAAACAAAGAAAAGGAUCCAAAUGAAAUCAACAUCUAGACUUAGGGUUUUAUUUGACAGAAUUCCACGAGUUUUGGUGUUUGUCUAUUUCUGCAGGGGGUUAUCAGGAAAUACGGAAGAAAGGCCCACAUGUCGGGAUUACAUAGAGAUAUCAACGCACCGCGUAAUUUUCUAUCAUCUAGAAGACUCCAGAAGCCACGGGAACGAACGAGAAGGCAAACGGGCCCGGGGGCAGGGCGCCCGCCCACCCCCCUUGGCGCCCGCCCAGGUGUUUCCACCAAUCACAGAAUGGAGUCUGCCAUUGCAAAGAUCUCGUCGAGCUGAUCGAAAUGCAUAUAUUAUUUGCUAUAUUUGGAGUUCGGAAUCAAGAGAUAUUAAUAAAAGAAGGACUCCACAUAAAAGAGCUGCGGGAUUAAUUGGGCCCAGAUCAGAUUUUGGUCCAUUAAGGCCUAUGUGCAUUUUAAUGAGAUAGGGUGCAAAGUUUAGUACCACAUCGCCUGCUGAACCAAAAAUGCACAGAGGAGGAGGACUAUAUAAGCAAGGCCCCUGGCCCAUGGAGAAGACAUGAAGAAAUUAUCAUAGAGACUGAGGGGUGCCCUCGAAGGAAAACCUCUUCUCUAAUUAAUAUUUCUUUUAGGCUUAGCAAUCAAUGUAAGGUAGAAAUAGAUCUUCUAGUUUCUACUAGAUUGAGAGAGAUAGAGUGGAGGUGUAGAUUGGAGGAAGCUCGGCCUGUCGGUGUCUACUCCAAGCUUGUACCUGCGGGAUCAAGUUCUCCUAACCCGAAGCUUGCUCCUAGGAUUAUUCAGUAAUUCAACUUCUAAAUUCUAGUAAGUUCUUGUUUUAUUGUUCUUAUGGUUUAUGAGUUUACUUAAUCUCUUCGCGUAGAGUUUAGAGUAAUCAUUGCUGGCGUAAACGUGGUGUUUAGGCUGGGGUACUCAUAGAUAUUCCCUGACUAGCUGGACCGUGGUAGUAGUGAGGAACGUGACAAUUCCGAGUUACCUUUGCAGAUCACAUCUCGUUAGCAGGAAGGAUAGGGUUUAUAGGUGCGGGUUGAACAUCCUUUGUGGUGUCUAGAUUCCGUUAGCCUCCCCAUUAGAACAGUAGAUCAUCCUUACCAAGGUUAGAAGGAGACUACGGUUGCAGUCUUCUCUAUUUAUCACUCACAUCGAAAGACAUUCUUUGUGCCUAAAGGGAUAGUAGCAAUAGAUUUAGUUAGUCAGAUGCACCCUUUCUCCCAGUGGUAAAAAUAUAAAUACGAUACUCUGGAAAACCUCCCGGGUGAAAUGCUCACCGAUAUCCGUGCGCUUGCGGAUCAUUUCCUUAUUGCGUUACCAAAUAUCAACAAGCAUUUCUGGCGCCGUUGCCGGGGAGAAAGACGGUUUGCUGAGAUAACUUUGAGUCUUGCUAUUAUCUUGUAUUAUACUUUUAUACUUUUAUUCUUUUAUCUUUUUAUUUUUAUCUUUAUGGAUAACUCAAAUUCCAUACCUAUUAUUGAAUUCUUUGCACCUUCGGAGACCAGCCAUAGACCAUGGGAGUCAACACGUCCUGCCCCUAAUUAUGAUCUGUGUCCGGAGUUGAUUGCAAUAGGUCAAAACCAACCCUUUUCUAUAGCCGAGGUCCUAUCUUUUAAUCAAGAAGAUAAUGCACUUUUAGCUACACAUAGGGAAUCUUUUAAUCCUUCUAUAAAUUAUGGUUCAGACCUAGCCCUACAAGACCAUGUUUUUCCUAAAUAUUUUCACAUUGGUCUUAAUCAUAUAACCUUUGGUAGAGUCUUUCUUUCUUUAUCUAUUAGUAAAGGAAGGUAUGUCUUCAAUCGUAGACAUCCUUCUUGCACUAGUCUUCAUAGAAAAAUCUUAGAGAUAGAGAAGGAAUCAUCUCCCAUACAAGGAGAGGAAGUUUUAAUAGCCGAUUUCCAAACAUUUCAAUCCCAUAAUUCGGCUAUCCAACCCAUCCUUGAGUUUAAUAAUUUCUACUAUGCCCUUUCUCUUGAACCUCCCGAUAAUCCUAUGAAUCUCUCUAGACAUCCCAUGCAUAAGAAGGAGGAUCGAGAAGAACAACAUCAAUGGCUAGAGGGCAUUAAAAAUCCAUGUGCUAUCACCAUUGAAUGGAUAGAUAAAACAAACUUAAGAGACAAUCCUAGAGGAAUUUUAAGCAUUCAUGAAGAAUCAUCCUUGGAGUUUGAGAAUGAGAGAAACAACAGUGAACAUGGAAGUUAUUUCAUAAAUACCUUACCAAGUCCUUGCUCAUAUAAAACAUCUCCCCAAUCAAUUUGUCUCUCCAUCCUUACCACAUUUGAGAUCUCCAACCCCCUCUUCCUCUUCAUUUAUAAAAACUUUAAAAGGGUGGUUGUCGAUGCAUAUGUCUAUAAUAAAUAUUACAGAUCUCGUUGAGUUCAUCUUGAUAUAGGUAGGUGUUGGAGGGCAAACCACUUCACCAACAUAAAUUGAUGGUUUCCCAAAGCUUAGCGUCCUUGAACAAGCACUUAUCAGAUCGUAACAUGAACUUCUAAUUAUUUCCAACAUUGCCUUGUGUAUUGAGCAUAUAAAGAUAAUUGUAGAAAUAUUCCUUCGUGUAUUCUUGCCACUAACCUUUCCAGGAUUGGAGCAAGAAGAUCGGAUGAAUGACAAGCACAAGGUAUGUCCAACCAACCAUCACACAACAUUGAAUUAAAUUCAUCCAAACUUGAAUUUUCCAAAAUUCAAGCUUGGGGGAGUACUUUACAAAAACAUCAUUUGCCAUGUUGCUAUGUUGGUUGUCCUUACCUUUGAGACAUGCUCAAUUUGUUAAAUACUAAUUACACUACUUCAUCUCCACUUAAGUAGAUCUCUAUAAAUGCUCUCAUGCUACCUUUAUUUGCUUUAGUAUAUGUCUAGGUUUGGAAUAGUUUCAUUUAUCUCUUAAUUAAGCAUGGUGCUUAGUUUAGGAAUGAUGAUCUUACUUCCAAGGGAUUUUAAAUUAAGCAUGGUGCUUAGGUUAAAAUGCCCUUCUAAAUCAAAUUAGACAUGGUGUCUAGGUUGAUUUUUAAGUCGAUAGUAUGCUAUAGUAGAUAUGGGAUAUUUUGUUGGACUAACCCCUGCAAGAAAACUUUCAAUAUCAACCUGGGAAGUCCUGAGAUAAACUCGCAUUGGAGAUGAAGAAGGUGACACAUGAAGUUUAACAAUUUGCACAAGAAAGACGUGGCUCAUAAGAGAUGAUUCAUGGAGGGUGCCACAAACACGAUGCACAACCGCUAAGAAAGGAAAGCUUCCACAAGGUGAUACUGUACCGUCACUCUUCAAGUAAGGUAACACCUUAAGGUACUUGACUAUCGCUUUUAUAAGCUUCUCCUUGGUUCUAGCAUUCACAUAAAUGAAGAGACAAACAUGUAUGAUUUAUAACUCUAGAUUAACCAACUCAAUUAAUUCAACAUGUUUAGUCCUUUAAUCUUUGUUCUUAGUACUACCUUCGUGAUCCCACGCUCCUAAACAUAUAAGCUAAUAUUUUGCACAUUCAAUAUUUGGAAGAUAUAAACAAAACAUAAAUAUAGAUAGAUUAUCUUUCCAUUAGGUUGAGCCAUCUGAUCUGACAAAUGUUUCAAAUACUACACUCAUGAUCUUAUUAUCCAUCAACUUUGUCUUGCUCACUAUGCUUAAGGUUAGAGAAGAACAAAUACACUUUUGGUUCUGUUGGUAUUUUCCACCAACAGAGCCCAUGCACUUGAUCUCUGCCUUGUCUCUAUGAACAGGUACACUUCAAGCAAAACAUGGAGGAGUUUUACAACUCCCAGACUCCACCAAGUGAAGGACCUGGAUCUAUGAGCACAAACACACUGAGCAGGAUAUUGCCAACACCAUACUUCAAAAUGCUGGGCAAAGAAGAACAUGGGUGACACCAUAUCAAGAGGUGCAGACGUCAAGGUCCACACCUAAUCAAUUGAUGCACCUAAAGGAUGAACAUGGUGGAAAGUCUUGUCCAGAAGACUUAAAACAUUGGAUCCUUGUCGGGAGAGGUCAACAUUGUCGACUCAAGUCACCUUUCUUGAUCAAGAAGGACGACCCUGGUGUUCCAAGCAUCAAGUGCGCAAUCAAUGGAUACUCUUUUCAGAAGACACUCUACGACACCGGAUCUGACGACAACAUAAUGACCGCAGUCACUUAUCAGCUCCUGCAUGGAACCAUGCCCCUACAACCAAUAUACAUUCAGCUCUAGAUGAUUUUCAGGUCAUUAACAUGGGAGAAGACGAGUAUGAUCCACCCACCAUCCUUGGAAGACCGUUCCUCAAACACUAUCAAAGCCAUCAUCUAUAGUGGAACCAGAGAAGUCCACAUGCACUUCCCCUCUGAGAAGGUACGCCACUACUUUAAUGAUUCUAACUAUAUAGUUGAAGACUCUAAGCAGGUCAGGACAAGAAGACGAUGCAACCGCAACCAGAGGAGGCAAAUCAUCAAGAACGGAUGGGUAGACUACGAAGGAGAAGUGAUAAGGUCUGAAGACAUACAAUUUAACAGAACCGUCCUGAGGAGACCGUAGCACCGAGUCAGAAAGAGAAGAUAGUUAUACACGAAGAGAGGCGCCGCCGAAAUCACCGACUUCGCCACCUAGCGAAUCCCAGGACGACUGAGAAAACAGAGAGUCCCGUUCGGAGGACAUAAAAAUGCCGAACGCCUUGCCAAGAGGUAAACUUGGUAGUUACCCUUUCCUUUCAAUUAUUCAAUUAUAAUUUGCUUAGUUAAUCAGGUUCAUGCUAUCUUGAAAAGAAAAUAAAAAUGUUAAGUAGUAAGCCCCAUGUGAGUAUGCUCAUGGCAUAAAACUCAUAAGUACAUUCACUGUGGUGGCAUAAACAUAAAAUAAAUAUGUUUUCAUCUUACAAUAAAAAUAUAAAAAUAAUAAGUGUAUGAUCCUGCUAAAUAAAUAACAUUUAUUAAGGAAGCUCAACAUGAUGAAGGCUAGAUAUUUAUGCUAACACUUAAUUAGUUCCACAAGCUUUGUUGUCUAUUUGAGCUCCACAGAAUUUAAGAAUCAAGAAGACUAGCAGACGGAGGACAUUCUAAUCGCUGUCAGAAUGCUGCUGACUUUCAAAUACACCUCUGCCACCUGCUAGCUACAUCAAGAGAAAUUACGUCAAAAUUCAGCUUGGGGGAGAGCACCCCCAUAUAUCUCGCUAAGUAUUUCUACCUAUCUUUAUACUUAUAUUAUGUUAGAAUAUUAAAAUACAUAAACUAUGAAAAACUAAAUAAAGAUUUUGUGCUUAUAUAUAUCUUUUGCUUAGUAUGUUUAAUAAAUAAAUAAAGUGGCUAUGCUAGUCUGAAUCUUAAUAAUAAAACUCUAGCAUGGAUAUGAUGAAUAGUUGCUCUGCCUAAUUUGCAAUUUUGAAGUUCUCUCUCAAGUUUAGACAUAACUGUUAUAAUUUAAAGCUUGCUCUAGAUCUAAACUUGUGGGAUGAAAACUUGAUCUGAAAUCUAAGUUGUUAACGGAUAUGAUAUGGGAAGGUUGAGCUGCUGUUUAUCUGUUCCUAGAGAUGCUAAAAUUCUGGAAAAUUUUAUCUUGAAAAAUCUUUAAAAUAUUGCAUGAUGAGUUCCUGUAUGAUGAGAGUUUAAAUUCCUACCACAGCCAUAUAUACAUGCUUGCUAGACUUUGAGCCACACAUUUACUAUUUACUGCUUAUGAGCGUUGAGUGUGGUCAAGCUGUGUGGACCCUUAGGAGCUUGUCAUGUGGUUAAAUCAAGAUUCACUUGCACGUUCACUCAUAUAUGCUACUUCUACUCUGGAAGUACCAUCCACAUAUAUCCAUCCAUUUCCAUCUCCAGAAUCACCCAAAAAUAUUCUACUCUUAAUCCGGGAGAGAAUAGUCAAAAAUAUUUUCCUAUCCCUGUUAUUCCCUGUGAAAUAAAUGCUCCAAAUAUUUUGGUUACUACCACUUGCUAUUUUAUCUCAAGAGAUGAGUGCUCUGAAAAAAAAGAGAGAAAGAAAAGAGAAGAAAAAAAAAUAUAAACGAGGAAAUAAAAAGGGGCAAGUGCCCGGAACCUCGAAAGAAAGAAAAAGUGAGACGAGAGGUAAAAAUGGACAAGUGUCCGACAGUAGAAUUAGGGGUACAAGAUACCCACCUGAGAGGAAAGAAAAAGAAGAGCAUCUCAUUCUACUCAUAAAGUUUCAAAAAGCAAGGAAGGUAUGUAUCCCCUCAAAAGAGCAAAAGUAGAAUUAGACUUUCACCAUUGUUAUUACCAUCAUCACCAUACACCAUUCAUUCGCCACACAUGCAGAUCUUGAUUUGACUUAUUGAUUUGUUUCUCUGGAUCCAUGGCUUGACUAUGCAAUAAAUGUCUUGUAAGUAUGUAUUAGCUGUCUCCCACCUAUGAGCUCCAGAUAUCAAGCCUUAUUAGAGUAGGGUGAGAGAGAAGGCAAUGUCCCUAUGCCUUAUACCAUAAAUACCACAUAUCUUGAGAGAAGGCAUAUAUCAUCAAUGCCUUGGUAAGGAUCCAGAAAUACCACAAAAGAGAGAUAUGAGAGAGUCAUACAAGGAAUCUCUGAGUUUUAUUUGAAAAUCUGCAAAAAAAAAACUCCAGAGCUAUAGCUGAUCAAGAAUAAGAGACAUGGCACUUGGCUAGACUGUUCUAUCUUUUAACUACUCAAGACAAAAGUGACGGUUACAAGUCCCAUGGUGGAAGGUAAAGUAAGUAAGUUUUAGUUCUUGACAGUUUACUCUAACUCAGAGAUGAGAUUUUAUUUAAAAGCAUGUGUACUGUCAAAUUUUUAAGAUAAUGCAACAACUUCUAAUCCAUUGCUGAGUCUAUCCUUGCUUAGGGACGAGCAAGAGGUAAGCUUGGGGGAGUUUGUUGACGGUCCUUAAGUAUCAAAUUUAAUUAUCAAAUAAACAAAGAAAAGGAUCCAAACGAAAUCACCAUCUAGACUUAGGGUUUUAUUUGACAGAAUUCCACGAGUUUUGGUGUUUGUCUAUUUCUGCAGGGGGUUAUCAGGAAAUACAGAAGAAAGGCCCACAUGUCGGGAUUACAUAGAGAUAUCAACGCACCGCAUAAUUUUCUAUCAUCUAGAAGACUCCAGAAGCCACGGGAACGAACGAGAACGAGAACGCCCGCCCAGGUGUUUCCACCAUUCACAGAAUGGAGUCCGCCAUUGCAAAGAUCUCGUCGAGUUGAUCGAAAUGCAUAUAUUAUUUGCUAUAUUUGGAGUGCGGAAUCAAGAGAUAUUAAUAAAAGAAGGACUCCACAUAAAAGAGCUGCGGGAUUAAUUGGGCCCAAAUCAGAUUUUGGUCCAUUAAGGCCUAUGUGCAUUUUAAUGAGAUAGUGUGCAAAGUUUAGUACCACAUCGCCUGCUGAACCAAAAACGCACAGAGGAGGAGGACUAUAUAAGCAAGGCCCCUGGCCCCUGGAGAAGACAAGAAGAAAUUAUCAUAGAGACUGAGGGGUGCCCUCGAAGGAAAAUCUCUUCUCUAAUUAAUAUUUCUUUUAGGCUUAGCAAUCAAUGUAAGGUAGAAAUAGAUCUUCUAGUUUCUACUAGAUUGAGAGAGAUAGAGUGGAGGUGUAGAUUGGAGGAAGCCUGGCCUGUCGGUGUCUACUCCAAGCUUGUACCUGCGGGAUCAAGUUCUCCUAACCAGAAGCUUGCUCCUAGGAUUCUUCAGUAAUUCGACUUCUAAAUUCUAGUAAGUUUUUGUUUUAUUGUUCUUAUGAUUUAUGAGUUUACUUUAAUCUCUUCGCGUAGAGUUUAGUGUAAUCAUUGCUCGCGUAAACGUGGUGUUUAGGCUAGGGUACUCAUAGAUAUUCCCUAACUAGCUGGACCGUGGUAGUAGUGAGGAACGUGACAAUUCCGAGUUACCUUUGCAGAUCACAUCUCGUUAGCAGGAAGGAUAGGGUUUAUAGGUGCGGGUUGAACAUCCUUUGUGGUGUCUAGAUUCCGUUAGCCUCCCCAUUAGAACAGUAGAUCAUCCUUACCAAGGUUAGAAGGAGACUACGGUUGCAGUCUUCUCUAUUUAUCACUCACAUCGAAAGACAUUCUUUGUGCCUAAAGGGAUAGUAGCAAUAGAUUUGGUUAGUCAGAUGCACCCUUUCUCCCAGUGGUAAAAAUAUAAAUACGAUACUCUAGAAAACCUCCCGGGUGAAAUGCCCACCGAUAUCCGUGCGCUUGCGGAUCAUUUCCUUAUUGCGUUACCAAAUAUCAACACCAGUCACUCUAACUCGAGUCAACCUCACCGGACGCACUCACAUAGCGUCCGGUGCCUACUUAGGCACCCAAACUUCAUCGAAACACGAUCUUUCCAAAACAAAGUUUGUUCCUCUCAAUCUAAGGACUUUUUUAGAGCUGCCUAGUGCUAGGUUUACCAAGUGUGCACCACACCGAAACCUAAAGCCUUGCCUAGGUCAAGGUACCCAUUCAAUGCCACUCUUAAUAGUACGGUCAAAGGAAAAAUAAAGUCCUAACCUACUCUAAGUGCCCUUCUUCACUAUAUGGCACUUAGACCUAGUCUAGUCCCGACGAUGUCCAACCAUCCUUUGAAAACCAAAAUGAUUUCCACUAUUAAGUAGGCAUGAACCUUCUAGUCCAUCGAUCUCCAUUACCAUGACCUAACACUAAUGACUUUGCCUCUGCAAAACACACGUAGUCAUAGUAAUCAACAUUGUCAUUAAUCACCAAAACACAUUAGGGGCCUAGAUGCUUUUCAAUCUCCCCCUUUUUGGUGAUUGAUGACAAUGACCUCGAGUAUGAAAGAAGUGAGGUUUUUAAAUGACUUUGUUUCUAUAAUCAUGAGACAAUAAGAACACAAAGAGCUUAAGCAUGCUUAUAUCAACCAAGUCUAACAUCCUACAUCCAAAUAUGUGUAUACGACAGGAUAUAACAACAGAUGGUUCAUAACAAAUCAGAGUAAAAGGUGGAAUCAAAGUAAUAUGAGCCAAGAACAUGACAUAAAUAUAUCACAAUCAAGCACAUGUCAUGUCUCACAACCAAAAAAGUGUAUCUCACAAAGUAUCUCACAAACAUGCAUGAAAAGUAAAAAUGAUGCAUGAUGAAGCACACAAAAUAAUCAAAGCGCACUCACUAGCUACCCCUAUCUCUAUCAUACUCUACUCUCUCUCCCCCUUUGGCAUCAAGCGCCAAAAACCUAAGACGAAGAAGGUGGAGGCAGAGCAGAGGAGUCCCAAGGCACUGCCUGAAACUAGGUUGCAUCAUCAUCCGUGCCAUAUGCCGUAGACUCUGAGGAGGCGGAUUGACCCUCUGAAGCUGGACGUGCUGGAGUAGCAGUCUGGGUCUGCUCUGUGGGCUCUGUGACUGUCUAAGUUUGUGCUGGAGUCUCAAGACAGGCUAGAGAUGCUGACACUGACUCGGUAGCAGUCGCUGAGCUCUCUAGAACAGUAGACAAUGGUGCUAGCUACUCAGACGACGCUACGGACGACAACAAGCACUCGGUAGUGGUGACCGGCAAAGUGAAAGCUAUAGGAGCCUAUAGUGGAGGUGGAGUCGGCUGACGAGUUAGAGCACUAUACAAGAACGAGACGUCCUGUUCAGCUGAGGAAUCCAACACAAGCUGUGAGGCUGUAGCUGACUGAGGUGUGAAACUGUUGACUGUGGAUAUACCAUAGAAAUCCACAUACAAAACACCGUCAACAUGCCUCGGUUGCAAGGGGAAACGACAUGACAUGAACAUAUUUUAUCCAUAACUAGUUCCACUUGUACUCUUAGCUUGUUUAUGCAGGAACAACAAAUUCAAGACAUUAUUUGACAAAGCCAACAUCAGAAUCAUCAAGAGGAGAUCGAGGGGACAACAGGUGACACCCUGGGCCCACAGGGAGGGGGUCGCCCGACCCCUCUUUGGUGGGACCCAGGUGUGCCACCUAGUCCACCGACAUAAGGGACCCCUGUGGAUACUGCUGGUGGGCCCAGAGGCCCAGAAGUGGGGUCGCCCGACCCCACAUCAAAGGCGGUUCCAGGGUCGGUGGCCUCCCACCGACCUUCCCCACAUGUCCCACAUGUCGAUUUGCCCCUGCCGUUGAUCAAAUGGCGGUUGUGAGGUCGGUUUGAUCCAAGGGUGGAGAGAAGAUGUCACGCGGAUCGAUGACGUGGCGAUGGAGUAACCCCUACUCCAUCUCCCUCUAUAAAAGGCAGCCUCCAUCCUUCAUUUCAAGUGUGCAAUUCCAAGGCCAAGUGCAUUACAAGUUCCAAGCAUACAAGUAGAGUAGUAGUUAGUCUAGAGUGGGAGUUAGAGUCGAGUCGAGCUAAGCUCGUGGUCUCCGGAGUCGUCUUCUGGAGAGUCUGGUAUAGCUCUUGUACCUUUUCUACUUUUGUAAGACUUUCCUUUUAUUAAUAUAUUAUUCUUACUUUACUUUACUGAGUUCUUACUUAGUGCAAGUCUUUUAGUCUUGUUGUGCAUUUACUUUAGUAAUAUAGUUGUCUUAGUGAAGUUAGUGACCUGUAACCACUCCUGUGUGUGCAUCAUCGUCCUAUCUUGUAUAGGAGCUCUAGCUAGCUGCAACUAGUUAGCGUGGUAGGAUUAAGUGUGAGCGUGGUGCUCAUACUUAAGAUUACCUUUGAUUACCGCUGGCUUGAACGGAAAGUAGGAGCGCACUCCCUAGUAGGUGACAGAUCGUGGGCGGCAUUAGGUUCUCCUCACGUACAGGCUAGUUCUUAAAAGGUAAGGCGUCCAUAAGCCCAAUAGUCGCUUUCGGUAAGGGGUUAGGUGAAAAACCUUCUAAGCGUCUUACCAGCUCGGCUAUCCCUCGCACACAGUUAGUAAGGCUCUAGCGUAGUUAAGGCAAUUAUCUAUUAAAGUAAGUCACAGAAGUCAAGUCAGAUACAUAGGAGUCCUUUACUCACUCGUUGUCCUCCCACCUAGCUAACUCUACCAUUUACCUUUAGCAUAGGACCUUGGAUUCACCACUACCCUUCCUAUUCGUUAUUUACCACCCUUAUUCACUAGUUGAUACUAGAUAACUCAAGGAAUCUCAUUCCCCUUUUUGUUAAACACACUUAGCCGCUUUCCCUUGGGAAAAUAUAAAUUACGAUACCUUGGAAUACUCCUUGGUGAAGUGCUACAGCGGUACAUUGUGUGCGCUUGCGGAAUUAUCCAAUAGUAAAUAGAGUUACCCUACCAGGGCACUUCUGGCGCCGUCGCCGAUAUCCGGUGGUUGCGUUAAGAAGUGUCAACAAGCAUUUCUGGCGCCGUUGCCGGGGAGAGCGUCUGUCUAAGAGUUUUAACAAAAAGAGAAUCCAGAGUUUGCUAGUUAUCAAGUAGUGAUAGGGAUAACCCAUCACUUGUCUUGUCUUCCUUUAUUGUGAAGCCUCACAGUGUAUGAGCGGUUUCCAAUUGCCGUCAAACUUCGUUGAAGAUCCUGAGCAACUGUUGAGGAGAACUAGACGUCGUCAAGUUCCACCUCAAAGGUUCAUCUCGAACCUGAAUCCGUUAGAGGAAGGAGUAUCUGCACCGGUUAUCAAAGAAGCUAUGGCCCAGAAGACCAUCUCUGAGUACUCUACGCCGUCGGCUGACAAUGUCGCCACGGGUCCGCAGCUUAACUUGGGGGAUGCGACUUUUGAGUUGAAGCCUGCGCUUAUCAAUAUGGUGCAAGCUAAUCCCUUCUGUGGAAAGCCACACGAGGAUGCCAAUGCCCAUCUCCAACACUUCUUGGAGGUGUGCGGCACCUUCACCAUCAAGAAUGUCGCCGCAGACGCCAUCCGUCUUCGCCUCUUCCCAUUCUCGUUAUUGGGGGAAGGCGAAGCAAUGGUUCUACGCCAACAAGGGUGAAGUGACCACGUGGGAGAGGUGCGCCAAUGCAUUUCUCAAGAAGUUCUUUCCGAUGGGCAAGACCAGCGCCCUUCGUGGAAAGAUUUCCAGCUUCCAAUAGCAAGCAGAUGAGACGAUUCCCGAAGCAUGGGAACGUCUGCAGGAGUACAUUCGCGCCUGUCCUCAUCAUGGGAUAGAGGAGUGGCUCCUAAUCCAAGGUUUCUACCAUGGCCUGACCGGUUUGGCCCGUAGUCACCUUGAUGCUGCCGCUGGAGGAGCAUUCUUGCAACACAAUGUCAAGGAUGCCAAGGACCUCAUUGAAAAGAUGGUUAUAAACCAAGGAUGGAAUGAGGAACGCCUCCAACCCAAGAGAAGAGGUGUCCAUGCCUUGAAUGAGGUGGACAUGCUCUCUGCUAAGAUGGACCUCUUAAUGAAGAAGAUGGAAGAAAGUUCCAAGCAAGAGACCAUUCAACCUUACGCCACUGCACGGGCUAUUGAAUCUGAUUCAUAGUGCGAAGUGUGCGGAGGAGAUGAUCAUUCGGGAAACAAUUGUCCCGAAGCAAAGGAGGAAGUGAGCUUCAUCAACAACAACAACAAUGGGUACCGGCCCCAACAACAGCAAUGGAACUCGCGCCCCUUCUACCAAGGUAAUCAAGGUAAUGGUUACAAUCAAAAUUUCAAUAAUUCUUUUGGUAACCAACCUUCUCUUAGAGAUCUUGUCUUAGGCCAAUCCAAAAUCAAUGAUAGCAAUAACAAGAAAAUGAUGGCUAAUGAUAAGAUCCUUGAAAACUUAAGUGAAAAGUUGGAUAGCUUUAACUCUGCUAUGAAAAAUCAGUUGAGCUUUAACAAAAUGCUAGAAACACAAUUAGCUCAAUUAGCAGCAGCUGUCCCAUCCUUCGAGCAAGGUAAGAUCCCAGGGAAACCUGAGGACCCAAUUGAAGGAGUUAAACUAGUUACUACGAGGUUCGGUAAGCCUCCGGUACAAUCCAACUGGAGCUAUCUUCUGGAUUCGCCCUUCAUCACCAAGAAGGACGACCCAGGCCUGCCGACCAUCACCUGUGAGAUCGGACCACAAAUCUUCCACAACGCCUUCUGCGACCUUGGAUCGGGUGUCAACAUCAUGGCCAAGGUAACUUAUGAUAAUUUGCUAGGGGGGCCUUUGCACCCCACAUUUGUUCGUUUGCAGAUGGCAGAUCAGACGAUCAGGUUCCCUGAGGGGUUGGCAAGGGACAUACUGGUAAAAGUUAAAGACGACUACGUCCCUGCCGACUUCAUCAUUCUAGAUAUGGGAUCCAAUAAUGAUGUCUCGAUCAUCUUGGGAAGGCCAUUCCUCAACACGGUCAAUGCAGUCAUCUAUGUGGGGUCCGGCCAGAUUCACCUCCAAUUCCAGGAUGGAAGGUAAAAUGUCCAUUCAAUGGUUAUAAAGCUAACAUGCAGGUGAAGGACAAAGAACCUCCGACUAAGCCUCGCCACAUCCGACGCCGAAGGGACAAGAGAGGUAAGUCGGCCAAAAGGGCCGAAAAGAAAGAAGAGGAACCCGCUGAACCAAAAAUCAAUACAAAGCAAGUAUGGCGGGAGAAAGAGGUGCGAUCAAGGUCCACGUCUCCGGGACCAUCUGAUGCACCCGAAGAAUGAACAAGAUGGAGAGGUCCUGCUCUACGGACCUAAAACGUGGAGCCCUUGCUGAUAAGGUAAAUCAGUAGUUAUCCCAUAUUUAUUUUCUGCAUUUCAAUUUCUACUAUUCACUUUUCAAUUGCAUUCUUACUUUGAAUUUUGCAUAUCUUAUUUCGACAAAAUGUUUAGCCAUAAUAAAUAAAAUCUUGAGAAUAACUUGUCAUAAAAAUUUGAGCUGCUGGAGCUCCCAAAGGGGGGUCGCCCGACCCCACCUUGGGGCCCACUUCACCACAUUUCAACCUUGCUAGUCAUAGAGGUUCCAACCCAGCACUUGGAUGCUCUGGGAGCUCCAAUGUGGGGGUCGGCCGACCCCCAUAUUGGCCCCACUUGCCUCCUGUUGGCCACCAUUUGAAUCACAAUGGAGUCCUAUGCUUGUAACACUAGCUAAAGUUUGAAAAAGAGUGGUCCCUUGAUCCUUUACUUUAGUCAUAAGAUGCUCCUUUCAUCUUUGAUUCUUUUGGGACCACUCCACUAGCUUAAAUUCUGCAAAGUGGUCACCUAGGCAUGCUUGAGUGCUCCCAUGGUCCAUAGGAAUCACUUUAGACAUGUCUCCACUUUUGCCAUUCAUCUUUUACCUUUCACAAAGCACUAAAACAGGGAAUCUCAGAAACAAUUUGAAAACUUUUGGUCCACACCUAGCCUUUACUUUUCCGGACAAUCAAUGACACAAUGUUUAAAGUGGAGGAGGGGCUAGGAUGGGGGUCGGCCGACCCCCAUUUUGGACCAUCUCUGCAAAAUCUUGAAAGCAUGCAGAAUGGUUCCCUGUAUAAAGCUAAAUUCAAAAUCAAAGUGCUUCUAGGGGGGGUCGGCCGACCCCUAUAUUGUGGGUCCACUACUUGCCCUUCUCCCCCUAUAAAUACUACAGCAUUGUGAGCUCAACUCCACACCCAAAACCACCAGAACCAUUUCGAGCUCACAAUCCUUUCUCUUCUCUCUUUGUUACAAGCCAUUUCUCAAGUUUAGUUUAGAAAUAGUCAUCAAAACAAAAACCCAAAAAGAUUCCCCUUGCAUAGUAGUAGUAGUAGGAGCUUGGUUUGCCUCACUUGUGUAGGAGGAUGAAGAAGCAUAUCUUCGGCAAGUUCAAGAAAGCAAAGGGUGAGAGCUCUUCUCAAGGCUCUCACCAUGCUCAUGGAUGAGAGAGCCCGAGAGCGGCCUCAUGUUAAGCCAAGAAGAGUUGCAAAGGUACUACAUCAUCCGAGAGGGUCUCUUCCUACACACUAGCAUCAUCGAUCCGGACCUUUUGGCCCGCACAGGUAUGGAUGUUGAAUUCGAUAAGGUGUUUAGAGCAAUUGGUUGGAGUAGUUUUUGGCAAGUGCCUGAAUUUGGAAAAGAAUUGCUUGCUAAGGAACUUCUAUGCACCCUAAAACUCACAAAUAAUGGAAUAUCUUUUCGCAUGUGUGAGCAAGAACAUCAAUUAAAUUGGAGUUUGCUAAACACUGCUUUAGGGUGUGAACAUGAAUAUGAACUUAAUCUAGAUCAUGCCACUAGAAUGUUUGAUAAAUUUAGAUUCUGGAAAGCAAUUUCUGGCUCUAAUGAUUGUUCAAAUCCUACUCCCAUUGAAAUCCAUAAUCCAACCUUGAGCUUUCUUCACUUCUGGAUCAUGUGCACUCUAUAUCCUGGCAUGGGAACUGAUACUUUAAUCGAUGAUGAACUUAAAAUUCUCUAUGCCAUGGUUAGUAAAAUCAAGGUCUCCCCUGUGAAACUGCUAGUGAACUAUUGGCUUAACUCUAUUGAGUAUGGGAAGCCCAUCUAUUUCACAUCCUUUAUUACUCGAAUAGCCGAUACUUUUGGAUUACUUGAAUCACAUUAUUUUGAAGACAUUGGCUAUGUUAGAGGAGUGGUAGAUGAGAACUUCUUUAUCAAUGCUAACAUGCUCAUAAGAGAUCCAAAUGGUGAACUUAAAAUGAUUUAUCCAGGCUAUACAACCGAAAUUCCUCUCCCAUGUGCGAGGCGCCGGUUGUAUGGGGUCCGCACACUUACCAUUAGACUAGCCCGAGUGGCAAGUCCAGAUGUUGCAGGGACACGCAGGGUGACAAGAAGGAUGAUGCAAGCCGCCCAGAUGGAGCAAGCAGGAUCCUCGCACCGUGACGUUGAAGAGGGCGAUGAAGCGAUGUCAGUGGAUGCUUCAGACUCCAUGGGUCUACCUCCACAACGCACUCCACGCCCAAGGAGACAGGGCUAGGCGUCACCAGCCCACAGGUAUGGACAGUCUCAUUAAUGACAUGGGCGAAUUGCAGAUUGGGCAAGAAGCAACAUUGCAACUGGCGUUACAAAACGGCCAACAUAUCCGACGUGUGCGAGAGGAAGACGCACAACGCUGGGCUGGAUGGUACCAGAAUUUCCCGCCACCACAGUGAGCGAAGAUCUAGCUUGGGGGAGAUCCUCUCCCCCACUAAGGUAAGUAUUCUAUCCUAUUUAUUUUCAUGCAUUUUAUCAUUCUUACUUAAAAAAAAAUAUUUAUUAGCAUUUCCCUUUAGCAUAUAUGCUUCAUGUAUGUUUAUAUCCCUCAUGGAAAUUAUGACUAGUUGCUUGUUAAUGUUUCUCUAGUGCCUAGUAUACAACUUAGUAUUUCUCUAAGUAUGGAUCACUUAGCUCACUUAAACUGCCAUGAACCUAAAAACUUUGUGGGUUGCAAGUGCUAGAACUAAGUCUAAGUUGUUGUGGGACAUGAGAUAGUAAGACAAGAGCUACUAUAAUAUUUUUCUAAGCAUGCAUGAUUAUUAGAGAUUUAUUCUUAAAAUGAUCAAAACCUUAAUUGUUCCUCAAUGGUGAUGAAUUCCUACCACAGCCAUAUCUACUUUACAUAAUUGCAACCUUUCCACAUAAGCUAUUUGCUUUGUGUUGAGUGUCGUCAAGUCUUGUUGACCCUUGUUAAGAGACUUUUCAUGCUCCUAAGAUCAAGAUCACGUACACACCACAUAUAUAUAUGCUGCUUCUACACUGGAAGUACGCAACCACAUGUAUUUCGCAUCCACUAAAUAGGUUGCUCCAAUACUCUAAAUGUUAGAACAUCUCUCUAAGCAUUAUUUGGUAAAUGAGACAUCAAAAGGCUAGGCAAAAUGAAAUAAAAAGAUGGACAUGUGCAAGUCCACAGAAAAAGAAAAUUGAGCACAUGAAAGCUCAUAUAUAUAUAAAAAAAGAAGAAAAAAAUGCUAGCCAUGUCUCAAUACAUAGAGAGUCUAUCAAAUAAAGGAGCAACCUAGUCCACCAUAUAUCACACUUGCACAUCUUGAUCUGGGAGUAUGACACUUCUCUUCAAGGAUCCGAGCUUUGACUUCGCAAUACAUGCAAAGUAAGUAUGCUAUCUCCUUUCAUCCCUACCUUGAACUCCACAUAAGCCUUUUAGAAAUAGGAUGAAAUAGAGAAGGCAACUCUUACCAUAUGCCUUGGUGAGGAAUCAUACACCAUUUGAGUGACAUGAGAGAACCAUAAGAGGAACAUUUAAGCUUUCUUUUGAAAAUAUCACAAAACCUCUGAUAUGAAACUUGCUAAGAAUGAGAAAGUUAGUGCUCAAGUCAAACUGUUCUGUCUCUCAACCACCUAAGACAAAGGAAAAGCCAUAAGCCCCAUAAGGGACUAAGGUAAUAGGGGUAAGUUUACAUAGCUAAAUUUUUCAUGCAAAGAGAAGAACUUUGUUGUACACAUGGUACUCUUGAAAUGUGAACAUAGUAACAAUACCUGAUCCACCGAGGCUAAGUUUCAUUGUUUGCUCGGGACGAGCAAAGGUUAAGCUUGGGGGAUCUUGUUGACGGUGGAUAUACCAUAGAAAUCCACAUACAAAACACCGUCAACAUGCCUCGGUUGCAAGGGGAAACGACAUGACAUGAACAUAUUUUAUCCAUAACUAGUUCCACUUGUACUCUUAGCUUGUUUAUGCAGGAACAACAAAUUCAAGACAUUAUUUGACAAAGCCAACAUCAGAAUCAUCAAGAGGAGAUCGAGGGGACAACAGGUGACACCCUGGGCCCACAGGGAGGGGGUCGCCCGACCCCUCUUUGGUGGGACCCAGGUGUGCCACCUAGUCCACCGACAUAAGGGACCCCUGUGGAUACUGCUGGUGGGCCCAGAGGCCCAGAAGUGGGGUCGCCCGACCCCACAUCAAAGGCGGUUCCAGGGUCGGUGGCCUCCCACCGACCUUCCCCACAUGUCCCACAUGUCGAUUUGCCCCUGCCGUUGAUCAAAUGGCGGUUGUGAGGUCGGUUUGAUCCAAGGGUGGAGAGAAGAUGUCACGCGGAUCGAUGACGUGGCGAUGGAGUAACCCCUACUCCAUCUCCCUCUAUAAAAGGCAGCCUCCAUCCUUCAUUUCAAGUGUGCAAUUCCAAGGCCAAGUGCAUUACAAGUUCCAAGCAUACAAGUAGAGUAGUAGUUAGUCUAGAGUGGGAGUUAGAGUCGAGUCGAGCGAAGCUCGGGGUCUCCGGAGUCGUCUUCUGGAGAGUCUGGUAUAGCUCUUGUACCUUUUCUACUUUUGUAAGACUUUCCUUUUAUUAAUAUAUUAUUCUUACUUUACUUUACUGAGUUCUUACUUAGUGCAAGUCUUUUAGUCUUGUUGUGCAUUUACUUUAGUAAUAUAGUUGUCUUAGUGAAGUUAGUGACCUGUAACCACUCCUGUGUGUGCAUCAUCGUCCUAUCUUGUAUAGGAGCUCUAGCUAGCUGCAACUAGUUAGCGUUGUAGGAUUAAGUGUGAGCGUGGUGCUCAUACUUAAGAUUACCUUUGAUUACCGCUGGCUUGAACGGAAAGUAGGAGCGCACUCCCUAGUAGGUGACAGAUCGUGGGCGGCAUUAGGUUCUCCUCACGUACAGGCUAGUUCUUAAAAGGUAAGGCGUCCAUAAGCCCAAUAGUCGCUUUCGGUAAGGGGUUAGGUGAAAAACCUUCUAAGCGUCUUACCAGCUCGGCUAUCCCUCGCACACAGUUAGUAAGGCUCUAGCGUAGUUAAGGCAAUUAUCUAUUAAAGUAAGUCACAGAAGUUAAGUUAGAUACAUAGGAGUCCUUUACUCACUCGUUGUCCUCCCACCUAGCUAACUCUACCAUUUACCUUUAGCAUAGGACCUUGGAUUCACCACUACCCUUCCUAUUCGUUAUUUACCACCCUUAUUCACUAGUUGAUACUAGACAACUCAAGGAAUCUCAUUCCCCUUUUUGUUAAACACACUUAGCCGCUUUCCCUUGGGAAAAUAUAAAUUACGAUACCUUGGAAUACUCCUUGGUGAAGUGCUACAGCGGUACAUUCUGUGCGCUUGCGGAAUUAUCCAAUAGUAAAUAGAGUUACCCUACCAGGGCACUUCUGGCGCCGUCGCCGAUAUCCGGUGGUUGCGUUAAGAAGUGUCAACAGAAACGUGACCGUAGAGGGGUUAACUGAAGCGUCUGCUCAAAGCUAGAAGAGAUCGCACCCUAGGAAACCUAGUGCUGCGGAGUCGAGAAUGGCUGGCUCUAAGCAGAAAGCUGGAGUGGAGGCUAAGACAGACUCUGAAGCCCACUAGGCUGUAGCACUGGAGUCGGUGGGCGGACAGUGGACGUGCCUAGAAGGUGCACCUGUGGAAGCUGGAUCCCUGUCGCUGCCAGGAGAGCGGCCAUCAUAGUUGUCUGCUGAGCUUGGAAGGCUAACUGCUGCUCCUAAAAGGUUAGAAGCUAUCUUCGGAUCUCAUCCUACCUGGCCUACAUGGCUGCAUUAACUGCAGCCUGCUCUCGGUCUCUCCUUGCCUGCUCCUCAGCUACCCUCUGUUGAUCUGCCCUCAUCUCCUCAAGAAUAGCAAGCAAAGCAGUGUCUGUGGCACUAGAGGAACCUCCUGCCUCGUGGUCGUGCUGCCUCGGAGGAAGAUCUGGAAUGGGAAGAAGAUAGUCAUCAUCUGAGCUGUCACAAGCAAACUCAAUCUUCUCCUCGGCCUCUGCAUCUACAACUGCCACUAUAGCAAUGUCCUACUCCUCCUCUAUCUCUAGGACUCCCCCUGAACUGCGGGUAGCCAUAGGUGAAGGCGGUGGCGCCCUGCCAUGUGGUGCUGGAGGAGGUGCUGGAGCUCGAAGAUCCACAUGUGCUCUCAGCAUCUGGCGGGGGUCAUAGUGGGGGAAGACGGUGACUGUGUAUGUCAGCUCCCUCCAGAUAAGAGGUGGGAGAGGGUCUGCCCUAGCAUGAAGAAUAAGCAUGGUGUUCCAAUGUGCGUAGGGUAGCUGACAACGAUCCCUGAAGCCCACAGCAACAGUGUCCUCUAUCUCUGACACAAUCAAAUCCCACAGAUCAAACGGCCUCUGAGCAAUCAGUUGUGCGAUGAGCCACUAUUGAAUCUUGGUAAAGCCUUCACAGUAACCAGGCCUCGGUAGGAGAGUCUUCCUCAUCACAAAGUCAAGAAUGUGAGAUGGACGGGUAAGACCUCCUACUGACAUGCUGGAACCCUCAUUGAACGGCUGACAAAAACGCGAUGAGAUAAAGUCUACUGGGGCAGCUCACCACCGUGUGGUCGUCGUGGGGGCUCAAAACUGCCAUAGCAAAGCUCAUGUAUCUUGGUGUCAUAUGCUGUCAGCCCCCAAGUCUCUCUAGCCCUCUGUGCUGACACUCUGUAAUAUCUGCCUGCCUGGGUGUAGUGAAUAUAGCUGUGGUUAGGAGCAAUCCAUACUGAAGCAAAGAACUUCCUCACCCACUCCUCGACAUAUGUGUCUAGCAAAGCAAGAAGACCUGGGAGACCUACUAGGUACGUGAAGUACUGCCUGAUGUCCACACCUACCACGUUCCCUAGCACCUUAAGGUCAAGUACCCUAUGCUCCCUGAACUGAGUCUAAAUGUGCACAAAUGCCAUAUACAUAUCCUCCUGAACAACAAUGUAAAACCUGGCAUGUGCCCUUUGAUCUCUCGCUACUGGAAACCAAGUGGAGAAAGGAGAAAACCUCAGCUCCUGGAUCUCACGAGUAGGUGCACGAGUGUAAUCCUUGUGGAUCCUGACUGGAGCUGGGCGUACAGCUGGAGUGCCUUGAGCUUGAGUGGAGCGAGCCAUCGAGGAAGACUGGUGCUGCGUACCAGUCCUAGAAGCUGCCUGAGUACGAGCUCGAGUCGACCUACAGAGGGGCUGCUCCUCCUGCUGUCCCUCUAACUGACCCUCUGCCUGGGCUUCUGCCUCUAUCUCUGGCUGUCCCUCUGUCUCAGUCUCCUCCUGUCCUGGCACUCCGACCACUAGCCUGACUGGACGUCAUCCCAGCAUGAUAUUGCCAGGUGGAGUCUCGUGUCACUGCUCUACCUGAAACACUGCACGCCUCUGGGCUGGCAUGAGGUCAGAUCCAAUCUGCAGAGCACAUGAGUGACCACCUCUCUCUGCUGCCUCUACUGCUACUACAACUGCAUCAGCAAUCUCUGCCUCAUGAUCAUUGGUCUUCCUCUUCUUAGUCAUCGCCUUCUUUCCCUUUCCCUUCUCAGCAGCCAUCAACCGACGGGGUUUGUCAUCUCCCCCAUCACCUCUUGGAGUGCCUGGUGAACCACCGACGUUCUUGCAAUGUGCCACUGCAAGAAACCUCAAACACAAGCAAGCAACUAACACUCAAGAGGCUUGGCCUCAAUCCGUACUCGUGGGCUUGGCCCCGAGUUCAACUGUCACUAACAACUGACAAUCUGAGACCCACGUGAUGCAAGAGAUAGAAUAGGUAGGGUAUAUAAGCACACAAAAUAGCUAGAGACAAGAAAACCCUAAAGAUCGCAUGAAUAAAUGAGAUAAGAGGAAAAACUGCUCACAAUCCUGUGACGAUACGAGCUCUGGAUGAAGGAUCGAGAUCGAAGUCUGCCGGAGAACACGAAUCAAAUCCUUAAGGUGCUACAAGGGUGGAACGAAUAAGAACGUCGUCAGAAACAACAAUCUAAUCCAUUGAAGCAUAAGAUCAAACACCUUGUGGGCAGGGUAUAAGAUGCUUACUCAAAACCCUAGAACCUGAGCGAGAGAACCAAUCCAGGGGCUCGAGGAGGGAGAGGAUGGCUUGGGGAAGAGCUCGGAGAGAUCCUUGGAGAAGCCGCUGGACAGGAGAUCAGAUCGCGGCGCCUCAGAAGAAAAUUGGCGACUAGGGUUAGGGUCUCUGCGGUGGCGAGUCGUGGGAGAGGACAAAAACAAAACUGCCGAACAGACCGAGGGCUCGGGGUUAUAUGCGCUGAUUGCGGGGGCACCAGACGCACUUAAGUGGUCAUCGGACGCGUCCGGUGCCCACCGGACUAAAACACAGAGAGGUCUGAAAUCUGCGCGAGCAUCAAACGAUGGUCACCGGACGCUCGCCUAGCGUCCGGUGCCUCAUGGCAUGCCUCGGGGAACACCGGGCGCACCUCACUAGACGCGCUCAGUGCACUGUGCGCAGGUCCGGUGAGUGCAGACCGGGAGACCCACCACACCGGACGCACUAGGGUGCGUUCUGUGCACUUUUACGUAGAUUUUCAACAGGGAACUUUACCCGACUUUCACCCAACAAAGUUCCAACUUCAAGAAGAGUCAAAUAAACACAAAUUUGAACUGGUAUGAGUGUUCUCUCUCAAACCCUCAAAUUUUCAUAAAUAUUUAGCCUUAGGCAUAGUAGUUUUUAUGAAAAUAGUCAAAUGAAAGCACCCAGGAGCAUCAUGUGGCCAUAAAUCUAGGGGUCUAAAUCAUGAUGAGUUUUGAAUGCUCCCCCUAUCAAUGGACGAACACAGUGGAUGCUCAAAGCAUAAUAAAAAUGAAAUCGUAAAACAAACAAGCAUGCGUAUGAUAUGAAGUGCAAUGCAUUACUUGAAAGUAAACUAAUGCUUGUCAAGUUUGAUCCAAGGUUAAGCUUUUUCACACACACAUGGGGGUUAUCUUAACCAUGUUAGACAAGCCCUACUCAUAAGCUUUUUGUAUUUUCAUUUUUGGUAUGCAUGACAUGCAAAGCAAAAGCUAUUUACAAGGACAUCUCUUGACACUUGGUAACACCAUUUGAAUACUAGGUUCUCAUCCCCAGCAUGGCGCUAGAGUGUACUAAGGUAUUUAUGAAUAUCAAGGCUCUCUAGAAAAUAAUCUAUUCUAUCCGCAAGCGCACAGAUAAAAUACCUCAUUGUAGCAUUUCACCAGGAAAGUAUUCCGGGUAUUGUUAUUUAUAUUUUGCUUAAGAGAACGGCGAAAGUGGAAACAGGGGUAAAUCUAUCCAGCCAUAGACUAGAGAUAAACUUGCAAGAACAUGAUUACUAAUGAGAAACUCAUCUCACAGUCACUUGCUUCGACAGGGGGUAAGCCAUAAUAAUAAAGAUAAUGAAAUAUAGCUCAUGGGUAAAUAACACAGCGAUUAGAAAUAGACUACUACAUAUAAAUGUAAGGUGACAUCGGAUUAGCUAGAGAAUGGAUUCUAAGUAUCUACUAUCUACUAAGUCACAAUCUACUCUAGGCAUCUACAAGAUCAUAUAUAGCACAAGAGACUCUUCAUUCAUGUAUAAGGAACAUUGCUAAAGUAAAUCAGAACAUAGCAUGACUUACUCCGCAAUACAAAUUCUGCCUGUCCUACUAACGGAUGGUGGACUAUAUAAGAAUCAACGAAGCUGUCACCAUUGCGAACUACCACACAACCCGGCCAAUAGGACACAUUUGCACGUAAAUAGUAUCUAAGCACCACGCCCACAUAUGAUCUACCACUUAGCUCCCACAUGUCAAGAGCUAAGCGCUUUGCAAACUUAUGCAUAAACUCAUUAUCAAUUAUAACUAUAUCAAAUAUAGAACUAGAGAAAACUAAGAACAUAAUAAAUAGAGACAUAAUGCAAUUAGAAUAAAGUCGUAGAGAAAGAUAUGAAAUAAUACCAAUCUUUAUUGAUGCAGAUCCGAAAUCCAAAGCGCUAGGCUCUACUUCUCUAAUUCUAUCUAAUCAAUCCUAUAGAACUUGAAAGAAUUGGGAGUAGCUAAUUCUAGUUCUCUACGGUAGAAAAGUUCCUAAACCCUAACUUUGAUGGCUUCCUCUAAUAAUGAUUUCUCCUCUCCCCCUGGGGUGGAGAGGCCUUGCUUAUAUAGCCCCCUCAAAUGAACGUGGGUCGUCGGAUCAAACCGACCUUAAUCGCACGGUUUUCCUUGAAGAUUAGAGGUGGUGGAGCAUGAUCCAGGAGACGGAGCCUGAUUGGCCCCUGUAGCUGGGCGGGCGCCCAAGGGGGUUGGGCGGGCGCCCUGCCCCCGGACCCGUCUGGCCUCCCGUUCGCUCCCGUGGCUUCUAGACUGUUCUAGGUUGAGGAAAAUUGCCGCACACAUAAUUAUCUCGUUGUAAACCCGACGUGUGGGCCAUCCUUCCAUAGUUUUUGAUAACCCCCUACAGAAAUAGACAAACACCAAAACUCGUGGAAUUCUAUCAGAUAAAACCUUAAUUCUAUGUGUUUGGUGCAUAUUGAUCCUUUUCCAUGUUUAGUUGACGGUUGAAUUUGGCACUUAAGGACCAUCAACAAACUCCCCCAAGCUUACCCUUUGCUCGUCCCUGAGCAAACAGCUAAACUCAAAUGGAUCAGGAGUUUCUUUGAUGUUUUCUUUCCUGACAGGCACACAUGCUUUCAUAUAGAAUUCUCCCAAAUUAGAGUAAAGUGUCAUGGAGCUUAGUACCUGCACUUAAGUCUUGGGUAGUUGAAAGACAAAAUAAUUAAGUCAAGCACUAUUCCUCCUAUCUAUACUUCACCUUUGUUCUAGAGUUUUGCAUAAGUUUUCAAAAAUAAAGCCCAUAGUUCCUAGACAUGACUCUCUCUCAAGUCUCUUUAUAUGUGGUAUUUGUGGAUCCUUACCAAGGUGUCACUUACCUAUAGCUAAUGGAAAGUUUAGGUGGAGCUUAUAGGUGUGAAAAAUAGCUCAUACAUAUGUUGUUUAAUCGAACCAUGGAUCCAAAGUAAUUCAGCAUAUAAUUAAAUCAAAAUGUGCAUGUGCGGUGGAGUAAAUGAUAGUAAUGGUGAAAAUGUAUAAGUGAUGAUAAAACUUAGUUCUCAUUGCUCCUCAUAUUGAUAUCUCUCCACCUCUCUUGAUCUUUGCUUUGGGAGAACAUGGGCUAUCUUUUCUUCUCUUUUUUUUCAGGUGGGUAGUAAAUACCCCUAAUUCUACUGUCGGACACUUGUCCAUUUUUCCGCUCAGGUGGGCAUCUUUGUACCCCUAAUUCUACUCCAGACACUUGUCCAUUUUUACCUCUCGUCUCGCUCUUUUUCUUUCUUUUUUGAGGUUUUGGGCACUUGCCCCUUUUUAUUUCCUCGUAUUUUUUUGCAUAACCCAUGCCUCUUCUGCAUUGAAUCUUUUUGGGGAGAGAGAAUAACAACACUUGGGAACAGUGAGUGAUAACAAUAUUUUUAGCAGAUUUUUGAUGAAUGGUGGUGGAUAGUGUAAUAGACGUGUGCAAGUGAGUAUCUUGAUUUAACUACAUGAAAAGCUCCUAAGGGUCUACACAGCUCGAUCAAACUCAAUGCGAAUAUAAGUAGCAAAAGAUAUAGAAAUUAUAGCAAGUAUGGCGGUGGUAGGAAUUUUUCAUGCUAGGAACUCAUCAUAUGAUUUGCAAGUUUUCAAAAAUGAAUCUCCAGAACUUAGUGUAGUAAGAACAAGAUAAAUAGUAGCUCAAACUUUAUAUCAUGUCUAUCUCUUACCUAGACUUUAGUUUUUGGUUCAUGCUCCCAUAGAUAUUAAAUUUCAAGUUUUAGCAAUUCCUGGGAGAACUCUAAUUUGAAAGCUAGGUACUUGAAAGUAAGUAAACAGAGCAACUGUUCAUCAUUUCCAUCAUGCAUCUUUUUGGUUUUUUCAUUUUUUCUAGAGAUUAAACUUAGGAGGAAAAAUAAAGCACACUUAUGUACACACUCUUUUUUAUGUGGUUUUUCAUUUUUAAGGAAUGCAGUAAAUUAAGCAAGAAAGUAUUUAUUGGGUUUUCUAAGCUUCUCAUUUUUUUUGAAAUACUAAAACAGAAAAAUAAAAAAGAAAAACAAAUAAAAACUUACUCGGUAAAACAGGGAGGAACUCCCCGUUGCUGGAUGUGGUUGUGUCGGCCUUACUCAAUGUUCCAGAACCGCAUCAUGGUGGUGAUGUUGUCGUUCAUCGUCAUGGUGUCUCGCCUCAGGUCUUGUACUGCAGCGGCGUGGUCCUAGUUCCACUUUUGUUGCUGUUCCAGGAGUCGUCCAUGCUCAAUUUGCAUAUCUUGG